UGUGUCAUCAAAUUUGAACCCUCUGCUGAUGGAGGUUCAAUCUGCAAAACCACUAACACAUACUACCCCAAAGGUGGUGCUCAGAUCGGUGAGGAACACCUCAAGGGAGGAAAAGAGAUGGGUUUGGGAAUGGUUAAGGCUGUUGAGGCUUACCUCCAUGCAAAUCCUACUGCCUACAACUAAUUAUAAUGAAUGCUACUGAAGGACUCUUCGACAUAUUUUCUUCAAGAUUGAAGUACACACUGAGGGUGUGUUUCCUUUUUUGCUUGGUUUGCUUUAAGCUGUUUGGUUAAGUUAAAAACAAAAUUGAAUCAUAGAGAGAACAAAAAAAAUAUAGUGUUUCUUAUGGAGAAAAAAAUGGAGCUGAUGCCUAAAAUCUCACAUGGAUCCAACAAGGAUAUGCUCAAAGUUGGAAAAAUGUGCUAUAAUUAUGAUUACUCCUUUAUGAAAUAAAGCUGAAAGCAGCUCAAUUUCUUUUUGUUUUCCAUAUUAUUCAAUUUCGUUGUCGAUUUUUGAUAGUUGUAUUUUUUUUAUUGCUUUAAUAAGGGCUAUGAUUGGAUAUCCUGUUAUGCCAUUGGCUGUCGAUGCUAAACCUGAUAAAUUAGAUGGAUCAUCCAAAUAAAGACAAAAUUGGCUAUGUAAACAUUGGUGAGGGACUAUUUCAGCUUAAGAAAAAUAGUUGAGGGACUAAAUUGGCUUAUAAUAAAAUUAGGGACUACUUCAGCUUUGUAAAAAUAGUUGAGAGACUAAAUUGACUCAUAAAAAGUUUAGGGACUAUUUUGACAUUAACGAAAUAGUUUUGAGACUAUAAACAUUAGGUCACAAUGUUGAAAUAUCAAAACCCAUGUUUGGGACCAAAACUCAUAGAACUUCUUCACGUCGCUAGCGAAAUUUGAUUCUGAAGUAAUGCUAAUUUUAUUUAUUAUUUGUUUCCUUGCUGGUCUUCUGUCUUUUUGGUUACAAUAUUAAAAUGUAUCCAUAAUUUUCAAUUCCAAAAGUGUUGAAUAUUUAAACGAAUUCUAGAAAGGGCACUGAGAGUCAAAAUCUUAUUCAAACAGCCAGCCAUCUCAGAGUACAUAUUUUUUUAUUAUCAGGUUCAAAAUGUAUCUAUUGCAAUUUUUGAAUGAUCAGCCAUGACUAAGAGAAUAAAAUAAUUCACUUGCUGUUUUUAGAUGUGAAUUCAUGACUGUCAGUAGUCUAUAAAUACACUUAUUGCUCACCACUCUUUGCACCGCAAAAUCUUUUCAAGAUCUAUCAAACCCUCCUGUUCUUGAUCUUUGUCCAUUUGUGAAAAAGCAAAUUAAAGCAUCAUGGCCUCUAUCACUUGUAGUGCUGAGAUGACCUCCCCAAUCCCUCCUGCAAGGUUGUUCAAGGCCGCCAUCCUUGAUGACCACCUUCUUCCCAAGAUCAUGCCACAGGCUAUUAAGAGUGGAAAUCCUUGAAGGAGAUGGUGGAGUUUGAACCAUUAAGUUGAGCACAUUUGGUGAAGGUUAGCAGUUAUAUUAAAUGUAGAACCCAAAUUUUAAGGAUCUAAUAAUAAUCAAUGCGUGCAGGGUUACAGAAUUGGAGGGAUAAAAUAAAUACUCAAAAUAUACGUGGAAGAAAAGAAAAUAAUAAAUUCAACUCAUAAUAUUAUUGAAAUUUCAAACAAUGAAGAAAAUCAUACCACAAUAAAUUCAGCUGGUUCUAAUAAUAAUCAAAGCAUACAAGGUUGCAGAAUUAAAAGGAUAAAACAAACACUCAAAAUAUAUGUGGGAGAGAAGAAAAUAAUAAAUUCAACACACAAUAUUACUGAAAUCUCAAACAAUGAAAAAAGUCACACCAUAAUAGAAAACCUUGCUAAUUCUUCUAGAUUCUUUCUCUUGAGAAACCAACCUAAAUAAUGUCCUAUUUAUAAUCUACCAAACUUGUUAGGAAAGAAACCACUUGCAUAAGAAAUUACCAAAUAAAACAGAAAUUCCUAAAUCACACAACUACUAAAAACAUAACUCAAAUAAAACUAAAAAUAAAUAAAUAUUUCUUGGCUUAGUUUAAUUUGUCAACAUUGCCUCCCUUAAACCAAACUAUCCAUUGAGAUAGGUUCAACACCAUCUCGAGCAAUAAUUUCUAUGUUGUAGUACACUUGACAUGAAACUCUAACUUGUUACCAGUUAUUAAUUUCAUUUUUACAUGUAACAAUGGACGCACUAUGUAUUUUGUAAAAAAUUUCUCAGCAAUUUCUUCUUGAUCAAAGUACUCACUUAUACAAACACAUUCAUCACCAGAAUCACCAUAUUUACCACCAAUGUAAGUGCCUAAAAAUACAAAAUCAUAGAUUGCUUUCUGGCUAAAAUUAUCAUCACCAAAUAAUUCAAAAUAACCACUACUACAAUCAUCCAAAAUUUUCAUACUGUCAGUCAACUCUUUUGGAGUAAAGUAUUUUUCAACUCCGAUGACAUCCAUAUCUAUCAAAUCAAACAUUCUCCCAUGACUUUGAAGAGAGUCCGCAACCAACGAAUUUUUCAACAACAAUUUCAUGUUCUCUUCUCUUAUCAAAUCAAAAUUUUCUUCUUCUUUUGUCAAAUUACCAUUUUAUUUUUUUCAACAAAUUCAUUACUUCUAAUUUCUCCAAACAAGGUACGCAAAUCAAAACUAUCAAUUGAUUCAAAAUUUUCAAUAUCACCCAUAUUAUCAACAAAUCUAUCAUUUUUAAAAUCCACAAACUAAUUCCAACAACUAGACUUCGGUUUGAAAGCAUAAUUUCUCUCAAUCGUGUGCAAAACAUAGUAAAUAUUCUUCCAAAAUCUCUAAAGUAUUUUAGUACAACCAAUAAAGGUUUUAUAAAUACUUUUUGCCAUUAAUUUAUGCAUCACUUGAAAGAAUAAUUGUGCCUUUUUCUUAAAAACAUGUUUUGCCAACUUACUUGCGUCAACCCAACAAAGAAUAUCAUCCAAAUUACAUUGUUUGACAUAUUUUUCCACUGUUAAAAUCCAACCAAAUAUGUAUGUAUAUUUGUGCUUAUAGGAGUCAAUAUGAAAAAUUUUUCACCGUCAAUCAGAUCUUUAUAAUAUUCCAUUAUUUAACAAUUUGUAUACCUGAAUAAAUUUUUUUCCUCCAUCCUGUCAUGUUUUCUUGGCCUCCCUGGUUGACUAACCAAAUUAUUGUUGUAUGUAUACCCAUGCUCGUCAAACCUCAUUCGUGUACACUCGUAAGGAGUGGUUCUGAGCUUAUUGUGAAUGCUCAGUACCAAGAAGUAGAAGAGAGAAUGCAUAAGAGAGAAUUAACUUGGCUAAAGAAUUAGGAAACAAUUGAGGGAUUUUUUAAGAAAUUAAUUCUCCAACUGCCACUUUUGGAAAUUUUCUAUCAACAACUAGUUACCAAAACACUAGCACAUAGUAAGAAAUCUGGAUAAUUUCAGAAACCUCCCUUGAGGCUUUUAAUAAUCUCGAGAAGCUCCCCUCAAUUUUUAAAAUUGCACGUACCAUCCCUAUUGGUGCAAAAGUACUCUACUACCCCUAAUAGGAUACUCAAAAGACUUUUUUUAUGGGAAAAAAGAAGGCCAGAAAUCCAAGCGAAAACAAAAAAAAUCAAUUUAUUUUCUCUUUUAGCCUUUUACGCUUUUGCCUUCUACCUUUGCUCACUUUCCCAUGCCAAUCUUCCUAUAACCACUUUCCCAAUCCCCUUUCCCCAACUUUUCUUCUCUACUUCAAGACCAAUUUUUGUCCAUCAAUCCUGGCUUGUGCUUUGUUCCAUUCCCUUCCCUUCUCCUUCUUUGAUUUCCCCUAUAUCUCCCCUUCUCUUUGCAAAAGUGACUAGGCUCAUCUCUCUCCUUUUUUUCCCCAUAUUUUAAGUGUAGUGGGUUUGAUUAUUUUGCAUCUAUUUUAUUUGAUUUUGGUUGAUUAUGGGUGAUAAAACUUGGUGAUGUCACAUAUUAAAAGUUUGAUAGAUGGAUAUUGGGCUUUAGACAAUGAUUUGCUGAAAAAAAUGGCCGCAAUGAGAGGAAGAGGCAAAGGGAUUUGAGUGUGGGGUUGAUUGUUGAUGAAUUGUUGUUUUGGAAAAAAUUUGAGGUUGAGUUUUAUCAAAUUUGGUAGCAAGUGGCGAGAUUUGUUCAGGUUGCGGGAAAUAAAUUGGUUUGUGGUUUCUUGGGCACCCACAGUCGUUGGAAUUGGUUUUGAUUCAAAUUAGGGUGGUUACUUGAUUUUCCUAAUAGUGUUGCUUAAAAGCACACGAUCAUCAAAAUUCCUUAUUUUUAUCUUUUAUUUUUUUUUUGUAGAAAAGAUUUCAUGACUUUCGUGAUAGUCUAAUUUGGAAGAAGGCAAUCAAGGGAUGCAAUCAACAUUUAGCAAAAGCUCUUGUUCUUUUCUUUGUAAUUUUUAGGGUAAAAAGGGUUGUUUAGGGUAUUUGAAGGAAAUGAUAGUCUAUUGGGUCUAUUUUGAAGCAUAAAUAGUGAACGUAAGGGAGGUUGGUGUUAUUUCUGAAACCUAAGGGAAUUGUCUGAAAUUGUCCGAGACCUCGGAGGAGGUUUUCAAAAUUAUCCGUAAGAAAUCAAAUGCGAAACUUGAUUCGUACACGCACACACGACACCACACCACGUCACGCGUGUGUUGAGGACUGAUGUCCGUAGCCAACGACAAGCAGGUUUUCAAUUUUUUUUUCCUUUCCUGGAUUCAGAGAUGGUGUCAGCUUCUAUUAUUGGUGAGCAGGAGGAAAUCCACAAUAUACAGUACACAUCACCCAUAUUCUUUUUAAUUGAACAAUGUAUGAAAUUAUGGUGAUUCGAAAUUAAAUUAUAUGUUUAUUGGACAACGAAUCCAAAAUAAGAGUUGGAAAUGUAUUGUGACAACAAUUGUUAACUUUGGCCACAAAUGAUCAAAAUAAAUAUUUAAGGUUUAAUAUGACAUUAUGGGUUCAAAAUAUAGUUACUUGUUAUGAAACAACUAAAAGUGCGGAUGCCCAUUUGUAUUCUCAAAAGGAUCAAUUCAUAAUUCAUUGCUCCCAAGAUGAUUAAUUCAUAAUUCAUUGCUACAUUAUGUAAAGAAAUUACAUUGGAUGAAUGGUUUCAAUCCAUAAGAGCUAUUCAUGUAUUGGAUGAACCGUUUCAUAUGGCUAUUCAUGUUCUUGUAGUAAUGAGUGUUUAAUAGAAUUGAUGUACCUUUAAUUUUAUAGUACCUAUACAUAGAGGUACCUGGCACCUCUUCGGUGUACUUUUUGAUUAGUUGGAAUAAUAAGAAAAUCAUUCUCCAUUUCUGUACUCUUUCACUAAUAUUUCAAUUCCUAUUAUAGUAGUUCAUUUUUUUUUAGUUUUACAACACGUUAUCAGUACGAGUCUCUCCUUUUAAACAAAAAGGUGAAAACGGAGCCUCUACCUUAAAAAAAAAGUGAAACACGAGAUUUUGCCGAAAUUCUGCCGUAUUUUUCCAGUAACUUCUGUCUACUUAUUGAGAAAUGGAUGCCAAAUAUUUGGGAUUAAAUGAUGGUGAUGAUGACAUUUGUCUCAUUGAUAGUGCUACUACGCGCACUAUAUUGAAAAAUAAAAAAAUUUUCUUGUAUGAAAAUGGGAGAGACAAAUGUUAAUAUCAUAAGUGGUAGUGCAAAAUUGAUUGAAAGAUUCGGAAGAGCCACUCUAUUUCUUCCUAAAGGGACUAAAAUUGUCGUAAAUAAUGCACUAUUGUCUCCCAAGUCUCGGAGAAAUUUAUUGAGUUUUAAAGAUAUCCGCAAAAACGGAUAUCAUAUUGGGACAAUGAUUGAGACAAAUGGAAAAUUUUUAUUAAUCACAAGUAUCAUUUCUAGACAGAAAUACGUAGUAGAAAAAUUACCUUCUUUUUCUUUUGGCUUAUAUUAUGCACAAAUUAGUGCAAUUGAAAUUUAUCACCUAGUAAACCAAAAGUCUAUUCAUCCCAAUAAUUUUAUCAUUUGGCAUGAUCAUUUCAGAAAUCUUGAAUCUAUAAUGAUGAGACAAAUAAUCGAGAAUUCACAUGGUCACUCAUUGAAAAAUCAAAAGAUAUUAAAAGCAAAUGAAUUCUCCUGUGUUGCUUGUUCCCACGGAAAAUUUAUUAGACCAUCACCAGCUAAAGUUGGGACUGAAUCCCCUACAUUUCUAGAACGAAUUCAUGGUGAUAUAUGUGGAUUAUUUCGAUAAUUUAUGGUGCUAAUUGAUGCAUCAUCUAGAUGGUCACAUGUAUGUUUAUUAUCUACUCCCAACCUGGCGUUUGCGAGUUUGCUUGCUCAAAUAAUUAAAUUGCGAGCACAAUUUUCAGACUAUCCAAUAAAGAAAAUUCAUCUAGAUAAUGCUGGUGAAUAUUCAUCACAUACUUUUGACGAUUAUUGCAUGUCCAUUGGAAUAACUGUUGAACAUCUUGUAACUUAUGUUCACACACAAAAUGGUCUAGCCGAAUCAUUUAUUAAACGGCUACAAUUAAUUGCUAAACCAUUGUUGAUGAGGUUUAAACUACUUUCAUCUGCUUGCGAACAUGCUAUAUUACAUGCAGCAACACUUGUGAGAAUUAGACCGACAAGUUAUCAUACUUAUUUUUCCCUACAAUUAACUUUUGGUUAUGAAUCCAAUAUUUUUCAUUUAAGAAUAUUUGGUUAUUCAGUUUGUGUUCUAAUUGCACCGCCCCGACGUUGUAAAUUGGGCUCGCAAAGAAGAUUGAAAAUAUAUGUCGGGUAUGAAUCACCUCUAAUUAUUAAGUAUAUGGAACCAUUGACAGAUGAUUUAUUUAUUGCGAGAUUUGUAGAUUGUCAUUUUGAUGAAUCAGAUUUUUCAACAUUAGGGGGGAGAUAAAAAUCAACCGAAAAAGGAAAUCACUUUAAAAAUAUCAUUGAAUUUUCUCGAUUCUCGUACAAAAGAAUGUGAACUAGAAAUUCAAAAGAUUAUACAUUUGCAAAAAAUUACAAAUCAAUUACCGGAUGCAUUUAAUGACUCCAGAAGAGUUACUAAAUCACAUAUUCCUAUUGAAAAUGCUCUGAUUAAAAUUAAUAUCCUUGAAGGACAAAUUACAAGUGCUAAUGAGUCUAAAGUGCGCCUGAAGCGUGGGAGAUUUCUUGGUUCCAAAGAUAAAAAUUUUCGAAAGAAAAGAGGAGUACAUGAAUCAACAAUUAAUGACAAAAUUUAACCUCCUGAAGAGAUCGCUCCUAAAGAGCCAAUUCUUGAAGAGAAUAAAAUCAUAGAAAAUUCAAUAAAUUUUGUCACUUCAGGGAAAAGUUGGAACCGAAAAGAAAUAAUUAUUGAUAGUAUUUUUGUAUAUAAUGUAGCACUUGAUAUUAUGGUAGAGAAUGGGGAUUACGAGCCUAAAUCGAUUGAUGAAUGUCGACGUAGAAAUGAUUGGCCAAAAUGAAAAGAUGCGAUCCAAUUUGAAUUGGACUCACUGGUUAAAAGAAAAGUUUUUGGACCUGUAGUCCAAACACCUGAAGGUGUGAAGCCAGUAGGAUAUAAAUGGGUAUUUGUGAAAAAAAAAUGAGAAAAAUGAAAUCGUGAGGUAUAAAUUAAUACUUGUAGCCAAAGGAAUUUCACAAAGGCCUGGAUUUGAUUAUGAUUACACGUAUUCACUUGUAGUGGAUGCUAUCACAUUUAGAUAUCUUGUGAGUUUUGCAGUACAUGAAAAAUCAGAUAUGCAUCUAAUGGACGUCGUUACUGCAUAUUUAUAUGAAAAUCUUGAAAAUGAUAUUUAUAUGAGAAUUCCCGAAGGAUUCAAUAUGCCUGAAACAUGCAAAUCAAAUCUUAAAAAUAUUUAUUUAAUUAAAUUACAAAAGUCUUUGUAUGGAUUCAAACAAUCUGAACGUAUGUGGUACCGCCUUAAUGAAUGUUUAACUAAAGAAGGCUAUACCAAUGAUCCAAUAUGUCCAUGUGUCUUUAUCAAGAAAAAUGGAUCAAAUUUUGUGAUAAUUGUUGUAUAUGUUGAUGAUCUAAAUAUGAUUGGAACACCUGAAAAGAUUCAAAAUAGUGUUGAAUAUUUGAAAAAAAAUUUGAGAUCAAAGAUUUUGGAAAAAUAAAAUUUUUCCUUGGUUUACAAAUUGAGCAUUUGAAAAGUGGAAUUUUGUCCACCAAACUGCUUAUACCCGGAAGGUAUUAAAGCGAUUUUAUAUGGAUAAGUCACAUACAUUAAGUAUUCCAAUGGUCAGAUCAUUAGAUCCUAAUAAGGACCCUUUUAGACCGCGAGAGGAAGAUGAAGAGAUACUUGGUCCUAAAGUACCAUAUCUCAGUGCAAUUGGUGCACUACUGUAUCUUGCUAAUUGUACAAGACUUGAUAUAUCAUUUACAAUAAAUUUAUUAGCAAGAUUUAUUUCCUCGCCCACAAGACGACAUUGGAAUGGUAUUAAACAUAUUUUUCGUUAUCUUUAAGGAACAAAUUGAUCUUGGCUUAUUUUAUUCAAAUAAAUCUAAACUUGAAUUGCUUGGUUAUGUUGAUGUUGGAUAUUUAUCUGAUUUGCAUAAAGCAAGAUCUCAGACUGGUUAUCUAUUUACAUAUGGAGGUACAACCAUUUCUUGGCGAUCUAGAAAGCAAUUAUUAGCCGCCACUUCAUCGAAUCAUGCUAAAAUAAUAGCAAUUCAUGAGGCUAGUCGAGAAUGUGUUUCGUUAAGAUCAAUGACCUACUAUAUCCGGAAGAGUUGUGGGUUAUCCUCUGAAAAAGAAAAUCCUCCGACUAUAUUUUAUGAAGAUAAUGCAGCUUGUAUAGCUCAAUUGAAAGGAGAAUAUAUUAAAGGAGAUAGAACGAAAUAUAUUUCACCAAAAUUCUUUUUUACUCAUGAUUUACAAAAGAAUGGUGAAAUUGUUGUGCAACAAAUCCGAUCAGAUAAUAAUUUGAUAGAUUUAUUUACUAAUGUAUUGCCGACUGCAAUAUUUGAGAAAUUGGUGAAGAAUAUUGGAAUGCGACGACUAUAAAAUCUCAAAUGAUAUUUGCAUCAGGGGGAGAAAUCAAUACACAAGAAUAGUGUACUCUUUUUUUUUCACUAGAGUUUUUGUCCCGUUGGAUUUUUUCCUAGUAAGGUUUUAAUAAGACAUAUUCUUUGUGUAAUUAAUAUCCAAUGGGGAGUGUUAUGAAAUAACUAAAAGUGUGGAUGUCCAUUUGUAUUCUCAAGAAGAUCAAUUCAUAAUUCAUUGCUCCCAAGAGAAUUAAUUCAUAAUUUAUUGCUACAUUAUGUAAAGGAAUUACAUUGGAUGAUCGGUUUCAAUCCAUAAGAGCUAUUCAUGUAUUGGAUGAACCAUUUCAUAUGGCUAUUCAUGUUCUUGUAGUAACGAGUGUUUAAUAGAAUUGAUGUACCUUUAAUUUUGUAGUACCUAUAUAUAGAUGUACCUUAGCUGAUAGGUUGCAAUUUUAUCAUUUAUUUUAUAAUUAAUUUCUCCUAUUACCUGACUUGAUGUGGAUUAAUUGCGGGAUUCUACUCACUUUUAGUAUUUUGCAUUUAUUUCAGGGAGUAGAGCGAAAAUAUAAUAACAGGUGCUAAUUUGACAAAAAAAGAGUCCAAGGCACAGAGCUUAUCCCGGGGGCAUUAUUGGCAAAGGAAGACUUUUGCCCAUUUUGGUAAUUUCAAAAGAAGAGAGCAGGGCAGAGGCCUCUAUUUUACUGGAGGCUGGAGCGCCGCACAAAGGGAGCUUCUUCUUCCUUCGGAGGCUCCGUCCUCUCCGCAAGGGGGCUGCCGCACACAGCAGCCAUUAGAAUAGGAGCAAUUGAUAUAUGACAGAGAAUGAGCACUAGCACCAGGGAGUUGCCUUUGUUGACUUUUCUUCCCUUUUAGUUCUUAGUAGUUGUUUUACCUUCCUCGUACGUAGGACCUUUAGCAUAGUUUCCUUUUGACUUUCCCUUGAGUCUUGGGUGGAUGUCUCCUGCGCAUGUCAGGAGCAAUUGAAGGUCUCGGUCACUUUCUGUAUUCUUCCAUCAACUGAGCGAACUGAGCUCCCUUGGUCAAGGGCAAUGGCUGCGGCUUCCUCUCCAACUUUGUGUGGGAUUCGUUCACCAGGAAUGAACUAAUUUUUCUUUUCUAGUCAAGGAACAACGGAGGUCUUGGUUGGCCUAAAUUUGUGAGAUCGAAUUAGUUUUUAUUUAUUUCCAUUAUUCACUGGUAUUUGUCUAUCUUCUGCUUUAUGUUCAUAUGGUUGUUUUAUUAUUCGAUUAUCCAGGGCCCGGAUACUAGAUUAAUUCAAUAACCUGAAGCCAAUUAGGAUAGUUAAAUCCGUAAUUGUUUAAUUAUUCUAAACUGCUGGCAACUGGCAUGAUUGGGUUUGUGUCAGGGGGAUAAACAUGCUAACUUAAAGAGACCCUCGUAGCGUGUUGAUUGGUUAGAAUUAGGCUCUUCUAAUUAUUCAUGCAAUUAGGGAAUUGAACUUCUAUGGUCGUACCUAGGGUUAUUUCCUGAUUAGAGAAAUAGUCAACGGUCGUACCUUGGCUAUCGACAAAUUGAGGAAGAGUUGGUUGUUUAUCGCGUGUAUGGCAACUAUAACUAAUUUAUCAGAUAGUAACUGGAAUAAUCCUUGCAUCUGUGAUCGAAUUAAGUGAACCAUCUCCGAAGUUGUCUCUUGGCUAGAGUUCGUCAAUUAUUAUUUUUAUUGUGAUAAUUAGUUAUUUGAGUUGUAGUUAUUUUAUUUUAUUUAUUCCAAGUAAUUUAGUUACUCUCAUUUUCAAAAACCCCCCAUAUCUGGAACUUGAGAAGAAAUUAAAUUAUCCCCAGUCCCUGUGGAUUCGACCCUGCUCACCGCUAUAUACAGAAUUUGUAUUUUAUUUGAGCAGGUAUUUAUUAUUGCACAGGUUCGGCACCUGUCAAUUUUUUGCUACAUUAUGUAAAGGAAUUACAUUGGAUGAUCGGUUUCAAUCCAUAAGAGCUAUUCAUGUAUUGGAUGAACCAUUUCAUAUGGCUAUUCAUGUUCUUGUAGUAACGAGUGUUUAAUAGAAUUGAUGUACCUUUAAUUUUGUAGUACCUAUAUAUAGAUGUACCUUAGCACCUCUUGGGUGUACUUUUUGAUUAGUUGGAAUAAUAAAAAAAUCAUUCUCCAUUUCUGUACUUCUUUCUCUAAUAUUUCAAUUCCUAUCACAGUAGUUAUUUUUUUUUAGCUUUACAACAUUACUUAAAUAAGAGAGUUAUUGGACUAUAUGUUUAUUGACCUCUACUAACUUAUUUAAGGUCAUUUCAUAUCACUAUCCAAAGAAGAAUUAAGGUCAUUUCAUAUCACUAUCCAAAGAACAAUUCUUGGGCGCUAACAUUUUUCUUACAUGACUAUUAAUGAAAGUUGACCCAAAUCUCUCUGUCUCUCUCUUUCUUUCAAUUCUUAGGACUGAUGCCAAUUCUUACCAUUUAGAAAGAAAAAUUAGAUUGUUUAUAUAUAUGAUGAGUUCCCUCUAAGUCAUGGUUAAGAAAAAUUCUUAGUUAAACGCAGUUUUAUGAAAUGUGAAUUUCCUUUUCUUUGUCUUUAUUCAUUAGUAUUAUUGGGGUUAUUGUAUUAUGAUUGCAAUGCACAGAUACAUGGAUUUUUGACAUUUUUUCUUUUUAAUUGACUCUGACUAUGCCUCAAACUCGAGACAUCAAACCUGGACACGACUUUUGUCCAAAAUGCUUGUAAAAAUUCAGAAGAAUAAUUUUGGACCUUAUUAUUUGAUAAUGGUACAAUUAUGAGAGUCAUUCCAGGUUAAUUAUCAAACUUGGAACUUGAAAAUAAUGUCGACAUCAUGUCAUUAUUAUUUUUUAGUUUCAUAGAAAAAUGAAGUAUUCUCCAACUCGACAUUAUCAUAGUAUUUUCAAUUGGCAGCUCAUGUGAGAAAGACAAGAAAUUCACAAUCAACUGGCCAAGAGAGUGCCAACAAAGAAAGCACUAAAUGGCUUAAACAAUGCAUGCAAAUUUGCUUGGCACUUAAACAAUAGACACCUAAAUCAACCAUGUCACUGUCUUGCCAAAAAAGGGCAUUAAAGUAAAAACAACUCAUGCCUACCACAGGUAACAAACUUCAGCACCUUCACUUCACUACCAUGUCAGCAACAACAUUUGCAAAUUUCCAAGGAAGUCCACGCACUAAAGGUGCCCAUGCCCUUAGGGGACCUCAGGUUAGUGUUCUUAACCUCAACUCCUGUCUUUCUGUUCUUAGGAAAUAUUGAAAUUAAACGUUAUAACUAAUCCUGAUUUCCUUGUGCUAUAUUUGUACACAAUUUGGCAACAAGGGUAAAAAAAAAUAAAAAUAAAAAGGUUUAUCUGCAAACUGUAGUUCGGCCUGGCUCUUUUUUUUUUUUUUUUUUUUGGGGAUAAGAUCAUCUCAGCACCCGCAGACCCCGUCAUGUAUCAAUAUUUCUGUACUUAGCAUUGGCUUCUUCUCGCCUGAAGAACACACGAACCACCGAAAUAGAUGGUGCAUGAAAGUGCACUUAACCCUUUUAAUUUUUCAAAACAAUCUUUUAGAAAAAAUAAUAAAAACUUUUUGAAUUUAAUUUUAGAGAAGAAGAAUUUUAAAAUUUUUUGAAUUUAAUCUUAGAGAAGAAGAAGUUUAAAAUGUACUUUAAUUUUCACAACUGAUGAUGAAAAUAGCAAAAUGUACACGGAUAGUGACAAAAGUGGGAUCACGGGCAGGAAAUCCUGAAGGUUGCGUGCAUUUUACACACGGCAUAAUUCUGUUUGUAUAUAGUGUAAUUUACUUUUUACAACGUGUAAUUUUAAAACAAAAUUUUGUAAGUCUCACACAUUUUAUUAAAAAUAAGGUACAAGAUGAAAUUUGGACCAUAUAAUUUUUUUUAAUCAAAUCUUGACCGUGAACUGCUCAGAAACGGUUUACCUGAUGACCGUCCCUGGUCCAAACCCGACAAAGGUGCCAUCUUAUCCUUUUACUGACUGGCCCGUUUUCCAAUGAGAGGGCCCAGAAGGGGUGCCUCUGCUUCAUAGUUUAUCCAUAUUGAUAUUUCUUUUCUGUCCCCCUAACUAUUAAAUGUGAAAGGUUGCCCACCAAAUUUGACGAAACCGUUUAUCCUAAUUGAUUAUUAUCAAUAGGGCAUAACUUUAAUAUUCUUCUUCCAACCCUUUCUGGUGAUUCCUGCAACUCCAGCCGUCCGUCAAUGACCAUAAAGCACCAUUAACCGACAACUAACUAACCACUAUUAAUCUAUUCUCAAAUUUUAAUGAAAUUGCACAAUCUAUUCUCAAAUCAAAUUUGAACAACAUUUUAUAGUCGAUAACUUUGAAACUUGAUAAAAAAGUCUGUUUAAACUCGGUUUAGUAAAUAAACAAAUCAAGUUUGAACAAAAUUUUAAACUCAUUAAAAUAAUUAAACACGUUUGAAUAUUAGGGUAUUCGAUUUAAUUAGACACGUUUGUAUCCCUAAUUAAAGCAUGCACUUUUAUAAGUUUAGGAAUCAACAUUAUACAUUUAAUAGCUAGCUAGAGGGUCAAAAAGUUAAUUGCCUUAAAUUCUUUUAGCAGCCAUAAGGUACAGUUGGAGGGAUUCCCUUGAAAUUGGUUAGAUUCUUCUAUGUGACUAAAGAAUUUCGGGUGUGACGCAUUACUAGUCCUACCCUAAAAAAAAAUGGUAUUACUAGUCCUUUUUUUCUUUUUUGGCGUGCCCCCGUCGUGGGAUGUGGGGAGGGGAGUCUGUGCGAGAAUUCUAGGUCGGGGUACAAGGAGCCAAAGUUCACCUUAUUCAAAGUAAACAACCGUCCAUCUCAGUUGUCGACUUUCCUGUCGAUUGCGUAUAUAUAUAUAUUACUAUCUUUUACCAUGACUUUAGAGGAUAGCUAAUUUUGCUUGCUAUUAAAUAAUAAUUUCGGUAGUCUAUAAAUACUCUUGUUCCUCACCGCUCCUAGCACCACAUAAUUCCUUCAAGAACAGCCAAAACCUUCUUGAAAUCCCUCUUUUUCCUUCUAGUUCAUUUCCAAGAAACAAAUGGCCCCUGUCACUUCCAGUUAUGAGGUCACCUCCUCAAUCCCUCCUGCAAGGUUGUUCAAGGCCACCAUCCUCGAAGAGAAGCAUCUUCACAAGAUCUUGCCACAGGGCGUUAAGAGUGUCGAAAUCCUUGAAGGAGAUGGUGGAGUUGGCACAAUUAAGUUGACCACAUUUGUUGACGGUAAGAUAAUCAAUACAAAGUGAUUAUUUUCACACAUUUGAAGUCUUCAAAUUUUUCUCUUUUUUUCCCUUUUAUUUGGGAAAAACUAAUGACUUUUUUUUUUUGGUUGGGUUAAAUAUUUAGGUGGCGAGCAUAAGACUGCCAAACAGAGAGUUGAUGGAAUUGACAAAGAAAAAUUUACAUACAGCUAUACUGUACUUGAAGCUGAUGGAUUUAACGAUGUAAUCGAGAAAAUCUGUUGUGUCAUCAAAUUUGAACCCUCUGCUGAUGGAGGUUCAAUCUGCAAAACCACUAACACAUACUACCCCAAAGGUGGUGCUCAGAUCAGUGAGGAACACCUCAAGGGAGGAAAAGAGAUGGGUUUGGGAAUGGUUAAGGCUGUUGAGGCAUACCUCCAUGCAAAUCCUACUGCCUACAACUAAUUAUAAUGAAUGCUACUGCAAGGACUCUUCGACAUAUUUUCUUCAAGAUUGAAGUAUAAACUGAGGGUGUCUGUUUCCUUUUUUGCUUGGUUUGCUUAAGCUGUUUGGUUAAGUUAUUCGCAGCAAGAGAAUAAAAUAAUUCAUUUGCUGUUUUUAGAUAUGAAUUCAUGACUGUCAGUAGUCUAUAAAUACACUUAUUGCUCACCACUCUUUGCACCGCAAAAUCUUUUCAAGAUCCAUCAAACCCUCCUGUUCUUGAUCUUUCUCCAUUUGUGAAAAAACAAAUUAAAGCAUCAUGGCCCCUAUCACUUGUAGUGCUGAGAUGACCUCCCCAAUGCCUCCUGCAAGGUUGUUCAAGGCCGCCAUCCUUGAUGACCACCUUCUUCCCAAGAUCAUGCCACAGGCUAUUAAAAGUGGAAAUUCUUGAAGGAGAUGGUGGAGUUUGAACCAUUAAGUUGAGCACAUUUGGUGACGGUUAGAUGUUAUAUUAAAUGUAGAACCCAAAUUUUAAGGAUCUAAUAAUAAUCAAUUAAUAAUAAUCAAUGCGUGCAGGGUUACAGAAUUGGAGGGAUAAAACAAAUACUCAAAUAAAUGUGGAAGAAAAGAAAAUAAUAAAUUCAACUCACAAAAUUAUUGAAAUUUCAAACAAUGAAAAAAAUCAUACCUUAAUAAAUUCAGUUGGUUUUAAUAAUAAUCAAAGCAUACAAGGUUAAAGAAUUAAAAGGAUAAAACAAACACUCAAAAUAUAUGUGGGAGAGAAGAAAAUAAUAAAUUCAACACACAAUAUUAUUGAAAUCUCAAACAAUGAAAAAAGUCACACCAUAAUAGAAAAUCUUGCAAAUUCUUCUAGAUUCUUUCUCUUGAGAAACCAACCUAAAUAAUGUUCUAUUUAUAAUCUACCAAACUUGUUAGGAAAGAAACCACUUGCAUAAGAAAUUACCAAAUAAAACAGAAAUUCCUAAAUCACACAACUACUAAAAACAUAACUCAAAUAAAACUAAAAAAUAAAUAAAUUUUUCUUGGCUUAGUUUAAUUUGUUAACAUUGCCUCCCUUAAACCAAACUAUCCAUUGAGAUAUGUUCAACACCAUCUCGAGUAACAAUUUCUAUGCAAAUCUAUGUUGUAGUAUACUUGACAUGAAACUCUAACUUGUUACCAGUUAUUAAUUUCAUCUUUACACGUAACAGUGGACGUACUAUGUAUUUUGUAAAAAAUUUCUCAACAAUUUCUUCUUGAUCAAAGUACUCAUUUAUACAAACCCAUUCAUCACCAGAAUCAUCAUAUUUACCACCAAUGUAAGUUCCUAAAAAUACAAAAUCAUUGCUUGCUUUCUCGCUAAAAUUAUCAUAACCAAAUAAUUUAAAAUAGCCACUACUACAAUCAUCCAAAAUUUUCAUACUGUCAGUCAACUCUUUUGGAGUAAAAUAUUUUUCAACUAUAAUGACAUCCAUAUCUAUCAAAUCAAGCAUUCUCCCAUCACUUUGAAGAAAGUCCGAACCAACGAAUUUUUCAACAACAAUUUCAUGAUCUCUUCUCUUAUCAAGUCAAAAUUUUCUUCUUCUUUUGUCAAAUUACCAUAUUAUUGUUUCAACAAAUUCAUUACUUCUAAUUUCUCCAAACAAGGUACGCAAAUCAAAACUAUCAAUUGAUUCAAAAUUUUCGAUAUCACCCAUAUUAUCAACAAAUCUAUCAUUUUUAAAAUCCACAAACCAAUACCAACAACUAGACUUCGGUUUGAAAGCAUAAUUUCUCUCAAUCGUGUGCAAAACAAAGUAAAUAUCCUUCCAAAAUCUCUAAAGUAUUUUAGUAUGACCAAUAAAGGUUUUAUAAAUACUUUCUGCCAUUAUUUUACACAUCACUUGAAAGAAUAAUUGUGCUUUUUUUCUUAAAAACAUGUUUUGCCAACUUACUUGCAUCAACCCAACAAAGAAUAUCAUCCAAAUUACAUUGUUUGAGAUAUUUUUCCACUGUUAAAAUUCAGCCAAAAUAUGUAUGUCUAUUUGUGUUUAUAGGAGUCAAUAUGGAAAAUUUUUCACCAUCAAUCAGAUCUUUAUAAUAUUCCAUUAUUUAACAAUUUGUAUACCUGAAUAAAUUUUUUUCCUCCAUCCUGUCAUGUUUUCUUGGCCUCCUUGGUUGACUGACCAAAUUAUUGUUGUAUGUAUACCCAUGCUUGUCAAACCUCAUUCGUGUACACUCGUAAGGAGUGGUUUUGAGCUUACUGUGAAUGCUUAAUACCAAGAAGUAGAAGAGAGAAUGCAUAAGAGAGAAUUAACUUGGCUAAAGAAUUGGGAAGCAAUUUAGGGAUUUUUUAAGAAAUUAAUUCUCCAACCGCCACUUUUGGAAAUUUCUAUCAACAACUAGUUACCAAAACACUAGGACAGCGAUCCGUCUCUAUUUUACUCUUCAAGUCUUCGCCGGGGAAGCAACCCGGCCUUGCGAGACUAUAAUGAAUAGGCACUUGCCUUCUGUUUUUACUUUUUUUUUGUUCAAAGACUAUAAUGCCCUUAUUAUUUGACUGCGCAUCUCGCAAGAUAAUGCUUUCCAUCAAAAUUAACUGUUGGGUUUGACAGAAGCGCCACGAAUAUUCUAUUUUAUUAGAUCCAGAGUCAAAAUUUUACCGUUAAUUGUUAGAGGGUUAAAACUUUAUCUGGAAAGGAGUUGGAGGGCCAUUGGAACUCUUUUUCCAAAAAAAAAAAAAAGUCACUUUUGUCAUUUGUCCAAGAACAGUUCUGGGGCCAUCUCGACAGUAUAUAUUUUUCUUACAUGCCAAGACAAUUAAUGAAAAUUGACCAAUAACACACGCACACACACACACACACACACACACUCUCUCUCUCUCUCUCUCUCUCUCUCGGUUGCUGCCAAGUCUUUCCAUUGAAAAAGGAAAAUUCAUAUUGUUUACAUAGAUAAAUUACCUCCAGUCCGUGGAAUGUCUUGAUGUUAGGUGAGUUCUAAUAUUUUGGUAUCAUCUAGAGGUGGCAAAUCAACCCACUUAACUAAAUUUACCCAUAUCCGCCCAUGAAUAGAUGGGUAUGGAUAUCUUAAAUUUUUGUAUAUGAGUAUAAAUGGGUUACCCAAUAAUACCCAUUUAAAUGGGUAACCCAUCAAACCCAAUUAACCCAUUUAGAAUUCUCUUCCCCUCAAGUCUCUUCUUUUCCCCCACCUUUUUUUUUUUCAAAUUUUUCAUUUUGUCAUGAUGUUAACUACUUUUGUUUUAUUAUUAUUAUUUGUUGGUUUUAUCUUAUUAUUUUAUUUUCUCUUAGUUUGUUAACUUACUCAUUUUUUACCAUUACCAAUUUAUGAUAAAUUUUAGCCUAUUUUCUUAUCUUUAUAAAAUGAAAUUUUAAAUUUAUAUAUGAAAAAAAUGUUAGGGGUUCAAAAAUUUUGGAUUAAGUUUUUAUAUUAAUUUUUAUAGUACUUAGUUCAAAAUUUUAUAUUCUUAUUAUUCAAUUAUUAAAUAAUAGGUAAUUUUGUGACAUAGAGUAUAAAUGAAAAAAAAUUGGUAAUUAAGUUUAUUGAACAUUAUAAGUAAAUAUUUAAAACUAAUGAUGGGUAUAAAGAGUGAUAUAAAUUGAUAACUUAGUUUGCAAAAAUGAAUUUAAAUGAGUUUGCAAAAAGUUAAAAUAAAUGGGUUAUAAAUGGGUAAUUGGGUUACCCAAUUCAUUUUUUGACUUGCCUAUUUAUACCCAUAUAAUUAAAUGGGUAUAAAUGAGUUGACUCACUUAUACCCAUUACCCAUUUUACCCAACUCAAACCCGCCCAAGUCACCCAUUUUGACACCUUUAGUAUCAUCUAAUGUUCAUUUGUGAAAGAUUGAGAAAUGAUAAAGAGCAAAACACCAAUUUAUUCCAUAAAUUAUUUUGCUAAAAUCAAAAUAGUCCAUAAAUUUUCUUUUGGCCAAAUUUUUGUCAUGAACUUUCAGAAACGGUUGCAGGGGAUUUCAUCCGGAUUGCUUGUGCAGUUGAGUAACUAUACAGAAAUUCUUUUUGGGAUGCUGAGUAUCUUAGGAUGGGUACAAUGAUCGCUUAGAUCAGUAGAGAUGAUUGAUGAUGUAGUAGGGGAAGAUUCCCUUUAUAAAGCUGAUUUUCUCAUGAUUAAUAAGAAUAUAAAUGUUACCAAAUUUUCUUUUCAAAUGUGUAACGAAAAUAUUGGCCAUGAUCAGCAAGACCUCCUUAAUUAUAAAAGUUUCUUGAAUGUCAUCAUCCAAUUUGUUUAAGCGAGGAUUUUUAAAUGCUAUCUUUAAGCAAAUUGAUUUUUGUAUUAUAGAUACUUACUACUAUUACUUCAUACCUAGCUACAAACCUCAUGUAUGUUUUAGUUUUAAUCCAGAACAAAUCAGGGCCACGGGCCACCUUGCACAUAGCGAGAGUGGAAAAAUAAAACUACACAAUUGCUUUUUUGAAGCCAGUGACUCAACUGAUUUUGCGCUCGGCAAUUCAUCCGAUUUUCAUUAAAAGGGCCCUAAGAGGCCAUUGGCGUUUUGGGCCUGUGAAAAUUUGGAUGAUUUGGUGUGUCCAAUGCAUGUGUAAGCACAAAUUUUGUUGUCUAAAAUAAAAGACAAGAAAACUUACAUAAAUAUCAAAUUUAUUAAAUUAAAUAACAAGAGGGUUACAAUAUUUGAAAAUUUUUGAAUCAAAGAAAUUAAUCUCCUAAUUUUUAUCUUCAAAAGGCUUUAAUCGGAAGGCCAAAAAGGCUUGUUCUCCGAUCAAGAGGGUGUUUUCUAUGAUUUCUAUGUAAAAAACGGCUGCUUUGAUGAUGACGUUAAUAUUUGAAUCUUUAAAUCUUCAACGCCGAUGGAAGGAGGAUUUAUUUAACUUAAUUUGGAUUUGGAUUUGAAUUUGAGGGAAAAAGCUCUCAAGAGAAUUUGACAAAGUUACUUUGAAAUUUAGGAAUUUUAAUGUAUUUUUGCCUUGAGGGAAGACCUUUAUUUAGAGUCAACAUAUGCAAGCUAUGUCUUCAAGAGAAUCCUUCAAAACCAUCUUGCGUUUGGGUAACUUGUACCUUAAGAAACCCAUUUAACUUGGAGUUAAAUAGUCGGCCGACCCAAAUAGUCAAUUGUGAAUUAACAAAUCAAUUAAAUCACUUUAAUUUAAAUGGGCAUCACAUUUUUUAUUUGAUUUAAUAGCUCAUAUAACAUUGGCUCAAUUUGUCAAUCCAAAACAUAAUGAACUUCUAUAAUUUAAUUUAAUUUAAUAAAAAUCAAUUUAAUUUACUUAAUCUUGCCUAAAAAUAAAUUAAAUAAAUUUUCGUUGUCUAUGUCCCCACUUCAAAACUUGGCAAGGCAUUGCAUGUUUAUUUGAAUUAACUUAAAACUUCUUAAUACGAUUCAUCUAAGCACCUUUAUAUAUAUAUAUAUAUAUAUAUAUAUAUAUAUAUAUAUAUUUAUUUAUUUAUUUAUAUAUAGAGGUACAGAAGACAUGUCUUUGUCUUGAAACUGUGACAAACAGGACACUUAAGACAAGGGCGUGUGAAGACUAUCGCACUAUUUGAGCGAAAAAAACCUGUUUUGCACGUAUAUUUUGAAGGUAAUCAUCUUUAUUGUCUUUUGACAACUUCAUGUUGGUCGAGUAUCAGAUAUUCACCAAAUUUUGUUGAAAUUUGUCAAAACUUGAUUUGUUUCCAAUUUGGAGAAAAAAAAAGAUUUUUUUCUUCGUUUCUGCAAUUUUCCAGGUCACUCUUUCCUAUCAACAUGUUACGAUUCAGAAAUUGAGACAAAUCUUGUACAUAGGAAUCUUUUUUAACAGCUGAUGGUUGGAAUUUAGCAGACACCUUGAAGUCAAAGAAGGCAAAUAGCAUUCCAAUAGCAUUAUUUGGUUGCAUGCCAUAUCCAAGAUUUUCACUAGUAAGCCACCAUUUUCUUGCUUUUGAUUGUUAUUCAUUCUCUGUUGCGCAAUUUUAUUUUCGCACAAUCUAUUUUUUUCGUUGAAUUUUCUCUUUUGCAAAACAGCGACCACCAAGGAAAGACAGAAAGAUUUUUUUGUUUUUGUUUUUGUUUUUGUUUUUGUUUUUUUUUUUAUGGUUGCACCUUGUGUUGGCACCCCUUAUUUGAAGCAAGUUGAUGUUCCAGUUGUGUUGGGGAUUUUAGGGCCAUAGCUCUUAGAACUCAAAAUACUAAUGUAAUUUCCGCACUCCAUGACAUUUACUUCUUGUCAAUGCCAAACUCUCCUCUUUUUUUUUGUGAUAUGAAAGGAAGAUCUCUCGUUGCAACAUAUAUGGUGGACACUCAAUUUGAAAGAAGGUGCAACCACCAACUUGCACGAGAGCCAUAUCAUGGUUUGAGGAGUAUAAUGAAAAUGAUGCAACUGCAAACUCUUAUGAGAGCCAUAUCAUGGUUGAGAAGUACAAUGAAGAUAGUGCAAUCAAAAAUUUGAAAAAGGUGCAAUCGCAAACUCCCAUGAGAGCCUAUCAUGGAUUGAGGAGUACAACGAAGAAUGUGCCACAAAAAGUUGAAAAAUGUGCAAUCGCAAACUCGCACGAGAGCCUAUCAUGGUUUGAGGAGUACAAUGAAGAAGGUGCAACUACCCACUUCAAUGAGAGCUUACCAAAACUCGAGAAGCCCUUUCAUUUAACUUCACAUUGACUAUUUAUUACUUCUCUCACUGUCUUCGAUCACACCAUUGUAAUCAAAUUUUUUUCUCUUGCUUUUGGUCCUAACGAAAUGGUGAUGGUCAAGGAAGUUACAUCUUCAAACAAAAGGCACCUCCUUAUCACUAAUAGCCAUGAUGACUCUGCUGACAAAGGAACGAAAUUAUUGGUGCAUCCCUCUAUACAAGAAAUUUACUCUGGUGAUUGGUUUUCUCACAAGUAUUCCGAAUUAAAGGAUUGGUCACUAAAAUUUUCUCAAGAUGAUGGUACGAAAGUUCACUCCUUGAAAUUCCUUAUCAUAAUAAGGAGCCAAGGACAAUUGGCAGGCGAAUCCUAGAUGAGACUAAGGGUGCAAACGAGGCAAGUCGAAUCGAGUUUUGAAGUUAUUGAGUCGAGUUACACUUAUUUAUAUGCGAGCUCGAGUUCGAGGUCGAAAAAUAGAGCUCGAACUCGGCUCGAUGUAGGAAAAGGAAAACUCGAGAUCGACUCGCUUAUGGCUCGCGAGUUUAGCUCGAAUUCUGGCUCGCGAGCAGCUCGAGUUUUGCUAGAUUUUCUGGCUCGCAUGAAGCUCGAAGUCAGCUCGAUUCUAGCUCGUUAGGAGCUCCAGUUCGAACUCGAAAACAGCUCGAUUUUCUGGAAAUUUAUGCAAGAAAACAGAAUUUUUGUCCGCAUAUUUUUGAUAAAAUUUGAGCAUGAUAACAAUAAGUUUUCACAUAUUCUUGAUCUUGAGGCCUACAAAUUAUGCACUAAUACAAUCAUAAAUGUCCAAAUGUCCACUAAUACAAAUUAUCCAAAUGUCCACAAAUGUCCACUAAUACAAAUUAUCCAAAUGUCCACAAGAAGUCUGAAGAAUACCAGCUUGUUGUCCACAAAAACCAAGGCAUGACAUGAAGCGAGAAUUUCCUGACUGCGUCCUGGAACUUUACUCAUUUCUGUCUCUAAUUCCUCAUGAUCAGUUAGUCCACCAACAUUGAACAAUAUGGAUCAGGAAUGGGGAAAAAUCACUUUCUAACACUCAAGAUCACAUACAACUCAUAUCCAACAAAUAUCCUGAAGUUUCAUGAGUAUAAUCACAUUAAAAGAGAAAAGGAUACUGACAAGCAUGCUAAUCAAACUCAAGCAGAAAAGGUACUUUCUCCUUGCCGUCUCCGACAUCCCAGCCAGCAAAUGGCUGGGGUUCGUGACAGCUGUUUGGGUCCAAUCCAUCUCCGGCAACAACUAUACCUUCUCCAAUUACUCCGACGCCCUCAAAUCACUCAUGGCCCUCACUCAGCUCCAACUCAACAACCUCUCCGUCGCCAAUUGAUGUCAUUAAAGCAGAAAAUCGGCCUGAUGGCCUCCACCAGCUGCCAUCCCUAAUCCAAGAAGGUCGAGUGUAGUAUGCUUAGGACCAAAUACAGAUGGAGUUCCCAACAUCAGUUCCUUCAAGCUAGACCCACCAUCACACGGCAGCCCUAGUCCUAGGCCUACUACCAAUGAUGCACUAUCAGACUCAAUUGCCCUCCCACUCUUCGCCCGGAAAGACAGUGGUGAAAAGAGGUAAGGAGGUGGCGGCAAAGAGCGACGGGUUAGCCAAAGUUAGAAGAUCCUCUUUUUCUAGAUUUGCAAGUUUCCUACUCUAGAGACAAAAAUGUCCUUGAUAUUUGGUCGUGCAUCUUACAAGAUAAUGCUUUCCGUCAAUUUUAACCGUUGGAUUUGACGGAAGGGCCAUGAAUAUGCUAUUUUAUUAGAUCGAGAGCCAAAAUUUUACCGUUAAUUGUUGGAGGGUUAAAACUUUAUCUGGAAAAGAGUUGGAGGGCCAUUGGAACUCUUUUUCCAAAAAAAAAAAGUCACUUUUGUCAUUUGUCCGAGAACAGUUCAGGGGCCAUCUCGACAGUAUAUAUUUUUCUUACAUGCCAAGACAAUUAAUGAAAAUUGACCAAUAACACACGCACACACACGCGCACGCACACACACACACACUCUCUCUCUCUCGGUUGCUGCCAAGUCUUUCCACUGAAAAGGAAAAUUCAUAUUGUUUACAUAGAUAAAUUACCUCCAGUCCGUGGAAUGUCUUGAUGUUAGGUGAGUUCCAAUAUUUUGGUAUCAUCUAAUGUUCAUUUGUGAAAGAUUGAGAAAUGAUAAAGAGCAAAACACCAAUUUAUUCCAUAAAUUAUUUUGCUAAAAUCAAAAUAGUCCAUAAAUUUUCUUUUGGCCAAAUUUUUGUCAUGAACUUUCAGAAACGGUUGCUUCCUGCAACCGUUGGUGAGGGAUUUCAUCCGGAUUGCUUGUGCAGUUGAGUAACUAUACAGAAAUUCUUUUUGGGAUGCUGAGUAUCUUAGGGUGGGUACAAUGAUCGCUUAGAUCAGUAGAGAUGAUUGAUGAUGUAGUAGGGGAAGAUUCCCUUUAUAAAGCUGAUUUUCUCAUGAUUAAUAAGAAUAUAAAUGUUACCAAAUUUUCUUUUCAAAUGUGUAACGAAAAUAUUGGCCAUGAUCAGCAAGACCUCCUUAAUUAUAAAAGUUUCUUGAAUGUCAUCAUCCAAUUUGUUUAAGCGAGGAUUUUUAAAUGCUAUCUUUAAGCAAAUUGAUUUUUGUAUUAUAGAUACUUACUACUAUUACUUCAUACCUAGCUACAAACCUCAUGUAUGUUUUAAUCCAGAACAAAUCAGGGCCAUGGGCCACCUUGCACAUAGCGAGAGUGGAAAAAUAAAACUACACAAUUGCUUUUUUGAAGCCAGUGACUCAACUGAUUUUGCGCUCGGCAAUUCAUCCGAUUUUCAUUAAAAGGGCCCUAAGAGGCCAUUGGCGUUUUGGGCCUGUGAAAAUUUGGAUGAUUUGGUGUGUCCAAUGCAUGUGUAAGCACAAAUUUUGUUGUCUAAAAUAAAAGACAAGAAAACUUACAUAAAUAUCAAAUUUAUUAAAUUAAAUAACAAGAGGGUUACAAUAUUUGAAAAUUUUUGAAUCAAAGAAAUUAAUCUCCUAAUUUUUAUCUUCAAAAGGCUUUAAUCGGAAGGCCAAAAAGGCUUGUUCUCCGAUCAAGAGGGUGUUUUCUAUGAUUUCUAUGUAAAAAACGGCUGCUUUGAUGAUGACGUUAAUAUUUGAAUCUUUAAAUCUUCAACGCCGAUGGAAGGAGGAUUUAUUUAACUUAAUUUGGAUUUGGAUUUGAAUUUGAGGGAUAAAGCUCUCGACAGAAUUUGACAAAGUUACUUUGAAAUUUAGGAAUUUUAAUGUAUUUUUGCCUUGAGGGAAGACCUUUAUUUAGAGUCAACUUAUGCAAGCUAUGUCUUCAAGAGAAUCCUUCAAAACCAUCUUGCGUUUGGGUAACUUGUACCUUAAGAAACCCAUUUAACUUGGAGUUAAAUAGUGGUCCGACCCAAAUAGUCAAUUGUGAAUUAACAAAUCAAUUAAAUCACUUUAAUUUAAAUGGGCAUCAUAUUUUUUAUUUGAUUAAAUAGCUCAUAUAACAUUGGCUCAAUUUGUCAAUCCAAAACAUAAUGAACUUCUAUAAUUUAAUUCAAUUUAACUAAGAUCAAUUUAAUUUACUUAAUCUUGACUAAAAAUAAAUUAAAUAAAUUUUCGUUGUCUAUGUCCCCACUUCAAAACUUGGCGAGGCAUUGCAUGUUAAUUGCUGGAGGCAAGACUUGAAGUAUUAAUUUUACUGCUGACCUAAAGUCAAACUAAAUUAAAGACUUCAAGCGUUCGGCAUACGGGUGAUCCACUUUUUUUUUUUUUUUUUUUUUUUCCUUUUUCUUUGGGAAGAGAAUGGUCCACAUCAAUUGUAGAAUUGCACCUCAAAGUCCAAUUGAAUAGGCAACGGUCACGGGUCUUCACUUUCACCUACUACUUGAAUAAAGCCUUGAAGCUCUUGAAUUUUCCAACUCUUAAUUUAGUCGUCAAUGGAAGUGCAGCCCCACAAUAUUAGACCGCAACUUUGACCCGUAGAAUUAGAAACCCCCGUUUGAUUAUGCGAUGUGGGCUCCUGCGCAGAAACUCCCAUAUGCUGAAAUUUGGAGUUUGCUCGUACGUUUCUGACCACCAAAUCUUGUUUUGGCACUUGGCAAUAUGGAAUUUGCUGAGUUUCAACGCUUCCUAAACGGAACUUUAAUGUAUUUCCAAAACCAAUGUUUGCAACUUCUGAAUAAGAAUAUGCCAAAUUUUAAGAGCUUCCCAAAUUGACUUCCAGCCAUUGAAAUUAUUCUUGGGAACCAAAUUCAAAUGAUUUCCAAAAAGUUAAACGAUAAUCACUGAAUUUAGUAUCUGUCCAAAACUUAAAACUUCUUAAUAUGAUUCAUCUAAGCACCUUUAUAUAUAUAUAUAUAUAUAUAUAUAUAUAUAUAUAUAUAGGUACAGAAGACAUGUCUUUGUCUUGAAACUGUGACAAACAGGACAUUUAUGACAAGGGCGUGUGAAGACUACCACGCUAUUUGAGGGAAAAAAAACCUGUUUGACACGUAUAUCUUGAAGGUAAUCAUCUUUAUUGUCUUUUGACAACUUCAUGUUGGUCGAGUAUCAGAUAUUCACCAAAUUUUGUUGAAAUCUGUCAAAACUUGAUUUGUUUCUAAUUUGGAGAAAAAAAAAGAUUUUUUUCUUCGUUUCUGCAAUUUUCCAGGUCACUCUUUCCUCUCAACAUGUUACGAUUCAGAAAUUGAGACAAAUCUUGUACAUAGGAAUCUUUUUUAACAGCUGAUGGUUGGAAUUUAGCAGACACCUUGAAGUCAAAGAAGGCAACUAGCAUUCCAAUAGCAUUAUUUGGUUGCAUGCCAUAUCCAAGAUUUUCACUAGUAAGCCACCAUUUUCUUGCUUUUGAUUGUUAUUCUUUCUCUGUUGCACAAUUUUAUUUUCGCACAAUCCAUUUUUUUUCUUUGAAUUUUCUCUUUUGCAAAACAGAGACCACCAAGGAAAGACAGAAAGAUUUUUUGUUUUUGUUUUUGUUUUUGUUUUUGUUUUUGUUUUUUUUUUUUAUGGUUGCACCUUGUGUUGGCACCCCUUAUUUGAAGCAAGUUGAUGUUCCAGUUGUGUUGGGGAUUUUAGGGCCAUAGCUCUUAGAACUCAAAAUACUAAUGUAAUUUCCGCACUCCAUGACAUUUACUUCUUGUCAAUGCCAAACUCUCCUCUUUUUUUUUGUGAUAUGAAAGGAAGAUCUCUCGUUGCAACAUAUAUGGUGGACACUCAAUUUGAAAGAAGGUGCAACCACCAACUUGCACGAGAGCCAUAUCAUGGUUUGAGGAGUAUAAUGAAAAUGAUGCAACUGCAAACUCUUAUGAGAGCCAUAUCAUGGUUGAGAAGUACAAUGAAGAUAGUGCAAUCAAAAAUUUGAAAAAGGUGCAAUCGCAAACUCCCAUGAGAGCCUAUCAUGGAUUGAGGAGUACAACGAAGAAGGUGCCACAAAAUGUCGAAAAAUGUGCAAUCGCAAACUUGCACGAGAGCCUAUCAUGGUUUGAGGAGUACAAUGAAGAAAGUGCAACUACCCACUUCAAUGAGAGCUUACCAAAACUCGAGAAGCCCUUUCAUUUAACUUCACAUUGACUAUUUAUUACUUCUCUCACUGUCUUCGAUCACACCAUUGUAAUCAAAUUUUUUUCUCUUGCUUUUAUUGCAAGUUGGUCCUAACGAAAUGGUGAUGGUCAAGGAAGUUACAUCUUCAAACAAAAGGUACCUCCUUAUCACUAAUAGCCAUGAUGACUCUGCUGACAAAGGAAUGAAAUUAUUGGUGCAUCCCUCUAUACAAGAAACUUACUCUGGUGAUUGGUUUUCUCACAAAUAUUCCGAAUUAAAGGAUUGGUCACUAAAAUUUUCUCAAGAUGAUGGUACAAAAGUUCACUCCUUGAAAUUCCUUAUCAUAAUAAGGAGCCAAGGACAAUUGGCAGGCGAAUCAUAGAUGAAGACACACACUGGGGUGCUUCCUUGAGAUUUAGUGAUGAAUUUGGUUAUAUCGAGAAUUAUUAGGAGCGGUUGGAAGAUAUUUUUGGAAAAAACAAACAAGUGUUUCGUGAAAAUUACUUGUUCGAUGUCUUAUAUGCUUCGCUUCUCAUAUAUAACAAAAAUUCUCAUGUGUUUAGAGCAUUUUGCGAGACAUGGUGCCUAAACACUAAUACCUUGCAUAUGUCAAUUGGAGAAUUAUCUCUCUCACUUUGGGAUCUGUGUAAAUUAGAAGGACUUCCAAUCAUCGGAUACAUCUAUGAAGAGGCGAUCCCAUGUGUAGAGGAACUAACUGGAGUUAAUGAAAAGAAGUUGAUGCAUAUUCCGCAAAAUUGUGAGUAUUUGUUCGCGGCUCUGCACUACCUUCAACAUGGAGAAUACUACAAUUAUGGAGUUUCUGCUAGCCAAUAGAUUAACUUUUGGUUUAAAGGCAACGUGAGGUAUUCAAAACCAAAACAGAGAAGGAUAAAGAGAGCAUCUAGUGCUUAAGCAACCCAAAAUCCAGAUGGAAAGAUUGGACAACCACGUAAUUUUUAAUUCAAGACAAUGGCAUAUAUGAUACCAUUGGAGACAAGUCUCACUUACGAGAAGAGACUUAUCUUGUAGCAUUUAUAUCUUGUUGACUCUACGUUUUUACUCUACCAGAUGAGGACGUCUAUUAUAUUAGACUAUCUACCUUCAAAAUGGCUAGCAUGAUGGCUGUCGGAUAUAAAACUUGCCUUGCUGUUCCUGUCUUGCUGAGUAUCUAUCACGGAUUCAAUAAAAUUUCAAAUUCAUCUACUCCAAGGUGUGCGCGUGCAUUUUUUUCAAUGCACUACGUGUAUGCUUAACUGGCGAGUUAUUUCUCUACCCAUUAUUCAACUCCGAAUAUCAUGCCUGGACCAACAAUUAUCAAUUAUUCUGGAAAGGGUGUGCACAAUAUUUUGAUGAAAAUAGUGCUUGCGACCUCAUUCAUCAAGGAGACAAAGUAACUUGGGGGACAACUUCUCUUGUGAAGAAUUAAAAUGAAUUUUUUGUUGAUGAUGGCAAGUUAGCGAACCCAGAACUGAUUUAUUUCGUAAGUGCUUGCUCAAAUUAUUUAGUCUUACAUGCUGAAGGAGAUUUUCUUGUUGAGCCAUACAGGUUUGCAAGGCAAUUCGAAUUUUAUCAAAACACCCCACAAGAACUGGGAGCAGAUGUUCAUUCUACAAAUUAUGACUUGAGUCAAAUACUUUGACACAUUGCUAUUCAUAAUAAGACAGAGUCGAAGGUAUUUUUUUCUAGUUACCCCUUGAAUGCUAACAAGCAUAUAUCUCCAGAUUUUCAAACAUGAUGUUUUGAUUAAGAGUGUCCAACCAAAUUUGAAACAGAAGAAAUCGAAAGGAAAGAAACUUGCAAAUUUGAAUAAUCCUGUCAAGGUUGGCAGUAAUCUUGAGGCGAAACAGAAAAUCACCAAGACUGUGAGGAUUGAGGAGAAAGCAUUGCAGAGCUCCAGCAACUCGUGAAAUUCUAAUUUUCAAUGAAGAAUUUUCGAAUGGUAAUUCAUUUUGUCUUCCUUCAAUAAUUGUAAAAGCCACCAAUCAUGAGUCUCGCAAUUCCAAUGAAAAGAAGAGGAGCAACUCUUUUGAUGAGAAGGAUGAGCAAUCUACUAGUACAGACUAGCACUAGAAGCAUAAGAAAUUCAAGGUAAUGACUUUCUCUUUGGAUGAUAUUGUUUUAGACCCUAAAGAAAUGUUUAAGGACAUUCUGGACAAAUAUGUGCUUGGUAUAAGUCAUGCCAAUAUUAUAAGAACAUUCUCUUGCCUUCUUUAGUUUGGCAUUUGAAAUUUACUUAUCAAUUUCAUAUUCAUGAUAUGUCUCAUAACAUUUUCCAUGUAGUUGAAUGAUCAAAACUUGAUUUUUAUUAAUGAUGGGAAAUCAAGCUAAGAAUUCGUUGAAGGACCCACUAUAUUUUAACUUUUAACAAAACAAGUGGUCAAUUCUACUCAAUAAAAGGGCAUCAUUGAAAAUUUCAAAAAGGCAGUGCAUGAUGAAAAUUCAGUUCAACAAAUCAUGCUACAGAAGAAAGAACAUGUGACUUCACCGGAGAAAAAAAAGUUCAAAAUUUUUGAUCCACAACCGUAGCCAAGGGCACCUCAAGUGUCUGAAUUUUGCCCCCAAACUAUGAUCUUAACAUGUCAUCGAGAUUACAUUCAAAUGCUCUGAAAUAAUUUGAAGGUGCUGAUAUCCGAAACAAUCCUGGAACGCAUUUCUGCUCUUAAGAUGAAAGCAAAUGAAAUCAUGGAGGAAAUGCAAAGUUUCAAUGCUAUGAAUAUUUCAAACUUGUAAGGCCUUUUAAAGCCUUUCUUUACAAAACCAAUUCGUUCUGUCGUAAUAAAGUCUUCUUUCUCAAAUAAAAUUUCAAUUGAAUCAUAUAAUGAGUUGUUUUCUAUAGCUACCCAACAUCUUAGAGAUGCUCAGAGUAAGGAGAAAUAAUAACUUAAAAAGUUCUCAACGUACAUGUUAAAAUUUAAAGAGAUUGACCAUGAGAAAAUAGAGCUAAGGAAAUGACUUGAAUCUAUGGGUACUCAUAGGAUGGAAAUACUUUCACUGCUACGAAAGAAACAAGACGAGCUUACCUAAAUGCAAGGCAAGAUGAUCAACUUAUGAAAUGAAAUUCAAAAGAUUGAAGAUUCCCUAUCUUUACUUGUUGAGGAGAGCCAAACAUUGAACAAAAUGCAAGCACUACUUGAAAGCAACUGCAAAAAACUGUCAUCAUUUGAACUUUAGAAUUAGUUACAAUCUUUUACUUUUUUCAAAUUUUAUUUAUUGUCACUUGCCUAUAUUAUAUAGCCACAGGCAUAAUUAAUUUUUUAUUUCACCAUGAAUCAUGAUUUUUUUUAUUUCAUGAUACUCUUGUGGAUAUUUCUUACUUUCCUUUGUUGCUUUCAUUAACCACCAUUUUAGACUAUCGAUUGCAAAAUAAACAAUUCAACAUUUGCAUAAUUUUAAUCACAUUUGAAGAGGUAAUUGUCUACAUAAUUUGAUAAUUUGAACAAUAUACUUUCAGGUGUAUGUUGCAAAGUAAUUUGAAUUGCCCUAAAGAGAAAAACUUUUUAUCUUUUAUUGCAUGACAUCUUUAUGGGGUUGUAACUGAAUUUCGAAGUUACCAUCUAAACUGUUUGCAUAUCCCAAAAGGGAAUAAAUUCACGUGUAGUUCCUACCAUCCACAGUUUAAUUUCUUGCAGGUCAGGAGUAUCUAUUUGCUUAUCACUUUAAACUUGGUGGAGUGUUUUAGUAGUUUAACCAUAUACUACACUAUUGGUGAUUGCCGUCCACAGUUUUAACUCAUAUGGACCAAGAGCAACAUGCAGUUUAGACUCAUGUGUCAUGAAACAACAUGCAGUUUAGGGUCAUGCGUCAUGUUGUCCUUUAUUUUUUUUAUGGCGUGUAUAAUCUUAAGAAAUUUUCAUUUAUGGGUCAACAUUUACACCAUUUUGUCAACUACCUUGUACGCGUUAUUUGUAUAAACAUUUCGGAUAAUAUAUGGUCCAUCCUAUUCGGAGACAAAUUUAUCUUUAGCAUGAUGAGUCAUAACUAUUGAUUUUCGAACGGCGAACACUAUGUCACCAAUUUGAAAGGAAUGAUGAUGAUAGCUUUAGAAAGGUAAGCCUGGUAGCAUUCAAGAUUUUGUUGAGUUUCCAAUUCCUUUUCAUCUAAAGUUUCUAAUUCUUUAAGAAGCAAGCAAAUAUUUUCUUUCUCCAUGAGCCCUUAUUGGAUGGCAAUUCUCAGAGAAAGAAUUUGUUGUUCAAGAAGCAAGACAACUUCUACACCAUAAACUAAGGCAUCAGGGGUGGCUUGCAUUGGAAUUCGAUAUGUGGUGCGAUAAACGCAGAGAGUUUCACCUAUCAUUUCAUGCCAAUCCUUCUUUGAUCUGGCCAUCACUUUUUUCAACAAGUUGCAUAGAGUUUUAUUGAAUGCCUAAACAAUACUGUUGGCAGGGACAUUAUACAUAAAGGACUUGCGAUGUUUGAAUUUAAAUUUCUCACACAACCUAUCCAUUAAACAGUUGAAGAAGGGUUUCCAUUAUCAGUGAUAAUGUGUUAGAGAAUUUCAUAACGAUAAAUAAUAUUUACACGAAUGAAAUUCACCAUAUCUUCUUUUCUCACUUGAGUGGUAUAGUUUCAUCCCAUUUAGAGAAGUAGUUGGUUGUAACCAAUAUAUAUAGAUGUUGUCCGAACGACUUAGGCAAUGGUCCAACAACAUUAAGGUCCCAGGCAUCAAAAGGCUAAGAAGUAAUAGUCAAAUGUAAUAGUUCGGGUAAUUGAUGAAUGUAAUUUGCAUAGAAUUGACAAGUUUGACACCUUUGAGCGUAUUCCAUACAAUCUUUGACCAUAGUAAGGCAAUAAUAGCCCAUCAUUUUAAUCCAAAAAUGCAACUUGGGACCGAAUUGGUGAGUUUGACAUAUUUCAAAAUGUGCCUCUUGCAUAGCUUGAUAUUCAUUAUCUUCAUUCAGACAGCGCAAGAAUACACUUUCAAAUGAUUUUUGAUAUAGCGUAUCUUUGUAUAAGAUGAAACGGGGGCACGACAAUAGAUAUCAAAUCUUUUAUGUUGCUCCUUAGGUACCUUUUGAUACUUGAUAUAAUUGAUAACAGGUUGUCUCCAAUCUUCUUUAUCAACUUCAUAAGUUGAGACGACAUAAGCAUCACCUUCCUCAAUAUUUUCAUUAUCAAAUAAUGGUGAAACUAUCCACUUUUGAUACACACGAACUUGUAUUUCAUAAUUUGACAUAGUCAGAGAAGAAGCAAGCAUAGCUAAUGCAUGAGUUUGCUUAUUUUCUCUUUUAGGGACAUGUUCAAUACUUGUACCUUCAAGUUACCUUAUAAGUUGCGUUGCAUUCUUGUGAUAUGGAAUUAAUUUAAAUUUUUUAACAUCAUAAUUUCCCAAGGGUUGACUAACGACUAAUUGUGAGUUGCCAUAGAUUUGAAACUCAAAUUAUUUCAUGUCAAUAGUUAUUUCAAGUCCGAAUAUGAGGGUUUGAUACUUAACGACAUUAUUUGAACAACGUUGAUUUAGAAUAAAGGAGUAUGGCAAAACUUCUUCAUCAGAUGUUGUAAAUACAAUUUUGACUCCAACUCCAUGACGAUGAGUAGCAGAUUUCAAUAAGGAGUACAUUUUUAUUUGGUAGAUCAUCACUUAACUCCCAUUCAACAAGUAUCGGGUGAUCAAUAAGAAAAUCUACUAGUACUUAACCCUUCACGGCCUUUUGGAAUACAUAAAUAAUUUUAAAUUAUUGUAACUAGGUACCAUUUAGCUAGACAGUUGGAUAGUGUUGGUCUACUUAUCACGUAUUUUAUGAAGUUUGCCUUGAAGAUGAGUCUCACACUGUGUGCUUGAAAGUAGUGUUUUAACUUCUAUAUUAUAAAAAUAAGAGUUAAACACAACUUUUCAAUCGGUGAGUAGUUUAAUUUAUUAGAGAUCAUCAUAAAUAAUAAAGGGCAGUUUCUUUCACUUCAUUAUUUUCUUGUGCAACCAAUACCUCCACUAAACGUUCUUGGGUAACAAUGUAAAGAAUUAAUGGCUUUCUAUAAAUAGGUUCAAUCAAGACAGAUGCCUUCAUGAGAUAAGAUUUAAUGCUAUUGAAUGUAUUGCUGUACGCUUCAUUCCAUUGGAAUGGUACACCUUUCUUCAUAAGGUGAUUAAAUGGUUGACACCUUUCAAUUAAAUUUGAGAUAAACCUCCACAGAUAGGUUAAUCGCUCUUGAAGGCUUUUUAUUUCUGAAUAUUGCGAGAUUCAGGCAUUCUCAAUAUAGCAUCAAUGUUGACUCGAUCAAUUUUAAUACCUCGAUGACAGACCACAAAAUCAAGAAACUUUCCUGAUGUAACUCUAAAUGCACAUUUGAGAGGAUUCAAUUUGAGUUGAUAUAUUUUCAACCGAUCAAAAUUUUGUUUCAAAUCCUCCAAGUGAUUAUUUCUUUUUUUUUUUAUUUAACAACCAAAUCGUCCAUAUAACAUUUAAUAUUUUUAUGAAGCAUGUCAUCAAAAAUAUUUUACAUUAAUCUUUGAUAUGUAGUUUUGAUAUUUUCAAACUAAAGGGUAUUAUGUUAUAACAAUAAAUACCCUUAGGAGUAUGAAAUCUAGUGAGUUAUUUAUCCUCAGGUGUUAUUCGAAUUUGAUUAUAGUUAGAAAAGCUAUCCAUAAACGACAAACCCUCAGACCCAAUAAUUGCAUUAAUCAUGAGUUUGGUGAUGGGUAGAGAAAAAUCAUCUUUGGAACAAGCACUGUUAAGAUCCCUAAAAUUUACGUAGAUGUGAAUUUGCCUGUUCUUCUUUCGUACAGACAUGAUAUUUGAAAUUCAUGUGAAAGACUUAAAUUCAUGAAUAAAUCCAUCAUCAGUGAAUUUAUUGAUUUCAACUUCGAUCAAAUAGACCAAAUCGGGUCUAAAUCACCAUUGUACUUACAUUACAGGUCGAACUCCCUUUUUAAUAGGUAAAUGGUGGACUGCUACUUUUGAAUUUAGACCUAACAUUUCUUUAUAAGUUCAUGUAAAAAUAUCUUGAUACUCUUGCAAGAACUCAACAUAUGUCUUCUCUUCAUCAGAAUUCAAUAAAGCACUUACCUAUAUAGGAUAUGGGUCCUGUGAAGUGCCAAAAUUGAUUUUUUAAGUCAUCUACAGUGGCCUUAACGCCUUGUUCAAAUUCAGGUGAAGCAUCUUCAACAUCUUCUUCUUCUCCAAGGGAAUUAUUAUCAAAUAUGGUUAUAUGGUUGUAUGAAACAAUACUUUCUUCAUCAUCUUCCUUUGAUCUUGUUUCUACAAUAGUAUGCUCUCUAACCUUUAGUUCAGUCCCAUAAAUUAUUAUAAGAUUUGUACAUCUCCUCAUUCUUGAGAGAAUAAUGUUACCAAACUUAUAAAUGUUAUGGGGACAAUCAAAAGAUUCUUCAAAUUCUUUCAGUGAUUUUGUCAUUCUCCAUUUAUUCUUAUGAGAAUUUUGAGACUUUUAUUUUCUUUGUGGUCCUAGUCUUUUGAAGACGAAUACUCACAGAGCCUUAUCCCUAUUUUUAUGAAAAACGUGUGACUUAUUGACUAUUUUAGAAGAUUCAUCUCUUAUAGCAAUAAAUUGACUACCAGCUCUAUUGAUUUUGAUGCGAAUUGGUACAGGUGAAAAAUAGUAAAGAUCAGAUUUAGAAUUCUUAACAGCAUAUCCUUUCCCUUUCAACAUCUUUUGAGUAAGGUUUAACCCAUAAGUCACAUCGCUAGUGGCUUGAGGAGGUUUCAAUACCAGAGAUUUCUUGAAAUCAUACCCAAUUUUGGUAAGAAGUUUAUAAGCAAUAUAAUCAAAAGCUUCAUUAAUUCUUGACGUCAGUAGCAUAUCUUGCUUGAUGUCAAACUCUUUAUUAAGAUGAUCAAACCCUUUGAUUAAAGGCGAUGGUAUAUUCGUAGCAUCAAGUUUAGCCACAGGAAGAGUUAAUCCUUUCAGAGUUUUGUGUGGAAUUGAAGAUGGUUGUCCUUGUCCCAAUCUUGACUUGGGAGGGUAUCCGAAGACAACUGAUUUAUUUUUUAACAAUGAGGCAUCAAUUUUUUUAUGAACUACCUCUUUUGAUUUUGGAAUCACCACUUUCUUCGUUUUGCACUUGAUGAUUCGAGAUCUUGGAUUUUAACCAUAGAUGGAGAUUGUUUAAACUCAUUCUUUAUGUUAUACUGAUUUAUUUUUUAACAAUGAGGCAUCAAUUUCUUUCUGAACUACCUCUUUUGAUUUUGGAAUCACCACUUUCUUCCUUUUGCACUUGAUGAUUCGAGAUCUUGGAUUUUAACCACAGAUGGAGAUUGUUUAAACUCAUUCUUUAUGUUAUAUUUUUGGAUAUAAAAUUUAGCAUUAGCGAUAUGCAUUUCUACUUCAGUGUAAAGAUUAUAAUCAGUUUUCACACUUUUUACCACUCCAUUUCGGUAAUACUUGAAAUAUUGGUGAAGAGUUGAAAGCACAACCCCAUUUUCAUGAAUCCAGGGUCUUCCCAGUAGCAUAUUAUUUAUUGUUUUAGUAUCUAUUACAUACAGUUGUGCUUUAGACAAUAUAUCAUCGAUAACUAUCUCUAAAUUUAACGAUCCAAUAGCUCUUUGCCCUCCUUGAUUAAGGUCUUGUAUUAUUAGUCAGCUUAUUGGAAAGUUUAUCAAUGGAGAUGCCAAAUUCCUUUAGAGUUUUUAAGACAAGGCUAUUGACAGCAGAACCUCUCUCUAUCAAAAUUUUAUUCACAUUUUAUUUUUUAGCAUAAACAGUUACAAACAAAGGACGGUUAUGUGAUGUUGACCCAAAAAACAAGUUGAUAGGGUGUUAAUUGUUAGUAAUUUUAUUGCUAUUUUUCCCCUUUGUCCUUGCCAAAUAUUAUUUUAAUUGUUAACAUAUACUUAUUUUUGGUAUUUGGACCAAUCUACAGGAAGUGGAACUGACAAAUGCUAAAAAGGAGAUUUUAUUGAGAAAAAUCCUUCACAUGCUAGAGCCUCCAGCGGAUAUACAAGUUGGGCCCACAUGGUGUUACAAAUUCGGUUGCUGAUGGGGAGCUCUUAUUAUUGGGAGUUGACUUGUACGUGUAGGAGUCCUCCUACCAAGAGGAAACAAGAAAAAAGGAAUUCGGCAGAGGCCCAUCUUUUGUACUUAGCUUUCUCAAUUCGGUAGGGACCAUGGACUAGAGGUUUUCAUUAGUGAUUGGACUUUAAAAGGGAAGAAACGUAUAGAGGCUUGGGGAUUAUUAUGAUUAGCGUAGCUUUAGUUUUAGUGGUUAGCUAGCGUUUCCUUUUCAUGCGCACGAGGUGCUCGACAAUAUUUUUCAACGGGAAAAAAAAACAUCUUUUACUCUUGCUUUCUAGUGAAAAACUUGAUGCCUUUGCAAUCAAUUAAUUUGCGUGGAGAUUUAAUUAUGCGGCGUGGCUAAGCCUUUUAUCUAGUCAAGGAUCAACUCGACGGCGCAGUCCCAAAUAUCUGUGAGAUCUAAUUAGUUUUCACGCGUUUCUUAAUUUGUUAAUAUUUGCAUGUUGCCUAUUUGAAUUUCCACGGGAUUAUUUUGUUAAUUGGAUAUCAAGAGCCCGAUGUUCAAUGUGACUUAUUAAUUUCCUGCCAAAUUAGUCAAUUAAAUCCGUAAUUGUUUGAUUGAUUAAUAUUAGUAGCAACUGACAUGUUUACACACUAGAAGAACGUGCAAUCUAAUUUAAAUAACCCUCGUAGCGUGUUAUUGAUUGGGAUUAGAUUUUUCUAGUUAUUAAUGCAAUUGGGAAAUUAAUUCAUACAGUUGUACCUAGGAGUAUUUUCUGGUUAGGAGUAAUCAUUGGUCGUACCUUGGUUAUCAAUAAAUUAAGGAAAAAUUGGUCGUUAGAAUUCGUCGGCGACUAUAACUAGCCUAUUAAUAAAUUAAGUGAACCUCCCUUGCAUCAAUGAUCGGGUAAGUGGACUGUGUCUGAGUAGUUGUAUUCUUAACUAAAAUUUAUCUAUUCUUGAUUUAAUUCCUGCCUAUAUUCGUGCUAAUUAAUUAUUUAUUUUUAGUGAAUUGCUUAAUUAUUUUUAGUUUUACUCCAAUAAAAUUCCUCUUUACCAAUUGGAAUCUCAAAAAGACAAAUAUUCUCAGUCCCUGAAGAGACGACCCUACUUGCCAUUGUCUACUAUUUAGUAAGUUUUGUCAACUAAUUAAUUUUGGUAUAUCGGAUUAAGCAAAUUUUUCGGGAACAGGGUGAAUUAAGUAACCUAUUGCACAUCUAGAGUCCCGGCUCUAAUAUCUAGGAUUCAUUAUUGACUGCUUUUAGUGGUAUUUAGGUUAUUAUUAUUAUUAUUGCACAGUCUCGACACCUGUCAAUUUUUGGCGUCGCUGCCAGGGACUGGCGUUAAUUAUUUGUUUUUUUAAGUUCAAUUUUGUUCUAAUUUUCUGGUAUUUUUUCUAAUUUAUGCAUCAUUCUUCUCGUAUAAGUGAAUUAAUUUUCGACCCUGAAGUAGAGAAGAUCGCGCGUAGAACGAGAAAAGAAACCAGACAAUUCAGAGAAGAGCACUCAAGUACUACAUCUCAGAGACUUGAGCCGGAAGUUGAACCGGCAAAUUCGUUUGGUAACACUUCGAGUGACUCGGAUCAAGAGAAACUCACCAUGGCAAAUGCACAAACAUUAAGGGAGUUGGCUGCUUCUAAUUUAAAUCAACAGCCUUUAUGCAUUGCUUUCCCAAGUUUGAAUGAUGACACCCUCUUUGAACUAAAAUCUGGUCUAAUUCAUCUCUUGCCAUCUUUUCAUGGUUUACCAGGUAAGGAGCCCUACAAACAUUUACAAGAGUUUGAUGUUGUUUGCAACAGUAUGAAACCCCCGGGAAUCACAGAAAAGCUGAUAAAAAUGAGGGCCCUCCCCUUCUCUUUGAAGGAUUCAGCGAAAGAUUGGCUAUACUACCUACCACCAGGUAGUAUCACCACGUGGGACCAGUUGAAAAAAAAAUUCUUAGACAAAUAUUUUCCUGCGUCUCGGGCCGCCAGCUUAAGGAAAGAGAUAUGCGGUAUCAAACAACACCCAGGCGAGUCUCUCUAUGAGUACUGCGAGAGGUUUAAGAAGCUGUGUAUCAAAUGCCCUCAGCAUCAGAUAAGUGAGCAACUGCUCAUCCAAUAUUUCUAUGAGGGACUACUCUUCACGGACUGGAGCAUAAUCGAUGUUGCCAGUAAAGGGGCGCUAGUGAACAAGACCCCUCGAAAAUCUUGGGAGUUGAUUGAGGGGAUGGCUGAAAAUUCACAGCAGUUUGGUGGGCAGUGGCGAUGGCGAAGGCUCGCGGGGGUGGAAGAGCCGUUGGCGCGACUGGGGCCGCGCGGCUGCUAGAAUCUAGUUGCAUCAGUCUCUGUGGUCCUUGGGAUCUUUGAUUCGGCUGUUCCAUAGCUUGUCGAUCCUUUGUUGCAUCCCUGUAGGCAUUGUAAUUCCUGUUGAUUGAGUUGUUAUCUAGUUUUUGAGGGCACCUCUAGUAGUUCCUUUAUUUGGGAGUUAUUUGGGGUUGAGUUGGGAGUUAUUGGCCAAUUGAUUCCUAUUUUGCUUUCGUCCUGUUUCUGGUACUGUAUGGUUUUGAUUGGGGGGUGUCUCAGUGGUUUGGGUUGCCUGUUUGAAUUGGUUCUUACCUGUGUGUGCACCAGUGGUACUGGUUGUGUUGGGAAUCCGUGACUGAUUUGUUCUUGUCCAAUUGAAGCCAUUUUGAGCAAUUUUGGGGUGAACACAUUUUGUCAUUAAUUGUUGAUUGUUGGGGGACGUUUUUGGUAACACUUGAGUUGAUAGGGUGUUAAUUAUUGGUUAUUUUAUUAUUAAUCUCCCUUUUUAUUCUUGCCAAAUAUUGCUUAAUUGUUAAUAUUUACUCAUAUUUGGUAUCUGGACUUAAUUUCAGGAAUGAAGUAGAAAACUACCAAAAAGGAGGGAUUUUAUGGAGAAUAUGGAAACUUCUAAGGGCUUCAAUUCUUGGGCCCUUGAAUUGGUGGGGACCACAAGCUAGUGAAAGGCAUUUAGUCAUUUGAGCUCUUCAAAAGAAGCUACGUAUAUUUUAUUUUAUUUUAUUUUAUUUAUUUUAUUUAUCUCUUAUUUUUUUUUAUAUAGUUUAUGGCUUCUAACACUUCGUAUUUUGGUGAUAUACUGGAUUUUGUUUCCGGGAAAGGCAAUGUGACUAGUUUUUUUGCUAAGUCUGCAUAUGCAGAGGCACUAAACUCUAUUAGAGAAAGAAUGGCUGCUGCAACCUGUAAAAUUUGUUAUACCAGGGAUCAUUCAACCGGUAUGUGCCCCGAAUAUCAAGAUAAUCUGAGUGUCCCAUUCGAUAAUUAUGGAGAAUUUUCACCCUGGUCUCAAACGUGGUACGACCCUAAUCCAAACGGGUAUGAUCAAGGAUGGUGGGAUAACUCCAAUUAUAAUUAUACAACGGGACCAAUGAAUUUUCAGCAGUAUGAGUCUCAAGAAUCGUCAUCUAUGUCAGGUAUGUCUCUUGAAGAAAUAGUUGAACCAAUAGCUACUAACACAUACCAAUUCCAACAGGAGACACAAAUGAGGAAUGAGAUGAUGAAGGAUGCAAUGAGUUAUCUGGCAGAUCAACUAUGUCUAUUGACAUCCAGAAUAAAUCGAUGGGCUUCUCAAAUGGAAGAACUGCCCUCGAAAACCAUUGUUGACCUAGAAGAAAAUGAGAGUGCAAUUUGCUUGACUAGUGAUGAGGAGAUGCAAGAGUGUCAAAAUGAAAAAUCUACAGAUACAGUUGAAAAAGAAGCCGAAAAGGAAGAAAUGGAACCCCAACCGCAACCCAUUCAAGUGAAAGAAUCCAGUGAAGAAUCAUCAAAUGUGGUGACACCACCUCCAUUCCCUAACCCGCAUUUUUUCUAACUCUUACUCUAUGAUUUCUGUUAAUGAGAUUGAUUUUGUUAUACCGGAAGUUUUUGAGUCUCAUGGCAGAAAUAAGUUGAGAGUGGAGAUGGCGAAAUAUCUUGAACCGUUGAAUGCUCUUGAUGGAGGAAUGGAUGAAGAAUUGCGAUCAAUGCUUGAUUAUGUGGCGCCAUCAACUAGUCCAUGGAAGCCCGUGGUUCGUGUGCUCAAAGAUUACUCCAUCUAUGAGGGUUACCAGGAUCAUAUUGAAGAUGAAGCAUUGAAGCGAGCUACAAGAUUUUAUCCUCCAUGAACAAGACAUAACAAUGUCUAGCCAAAGACAUUAAAGAAAGGCGUUUUUUGGGAGGCAACCCAAAUAUUGAUUUUAUUAUUUUUAGUUGUUCAAUUCUUUCGUUCUGUUGUUUCUCAUUUGGAUAGUAGUUGGUCUUGAUAUUUUUCUCCACUGUGAUCAGGAAGUGAAAUCUUGGCGUGCCCACGCGGUGUUUAGGUCUCCUGAGAUCAGAGGACGAACACCAAUCUUGGCGUGCCCACGCGGUGUUUGGGUCUCCUGAGGUCAGUGAAUGUUUUGUAAUCUUGGCAUGCCCACGCGGUGUUUGACGACCCAAAACAUGAAAAAAAAAAAGUUUCAAAAUUUCACAUUGAGAAAAUUCAAAAAUUCAAAAGGCAUUUUUCUUUUUCUUCAAAAAUUCAAAUUUUGGAAUUUCAAAUUCAGGAAAAAAUUUGAAAAAAAAACAUUGAGAAAAAAAAACCCAAAAAGAAAAAAUUAAGAUUCAAAAAAAAAAAAAAACUAUUUUUUUUUCUCUCUUUUUCUUUUUCUCUUUUCUUUUUCUUUUUUCUUUUCUUCUUUUUUCUUUCUUUCUUCCUUCACCACCGCAGCAGCUACCCCACGCGACUCUCCUCCGCCUACCCCAGCGCACAGCCCAGGCCACGCGCUCCCUCCUUCCUGCAGCCCGUCGACGAAGCCCACCAGCCACCACCAGCAGGCCGCGGCUCCUUCCCCCUUGCGCGGCCACAGCUCGCGAACCACCUCUCCCACAGCGCGCGGCCUUCUCCCUUAUCUUUUGGCCGCGCGUCAUUGGCUCGCCCAAGGGCAGCCGCCGCCGCCGUUCCUCACAGUCAAGCAAUCGCAGGCCAAAGCCCACAACCCCAGCCGGCGCCGCCCGCAGCUCCUCGUGCGUGACAGCCGUGCGACGCCGCGCCUCCCUCAGCAACAGCUCCAAGCUCCAGCUCACUCGCAGACAGCCGCGCGAUUCUCAGCCAUUCACCUCGCGCGACCCCGAGCGCACAAUUCCGCGUGCCGCCAUCGAAGACCGCCGCGCCUCUCCCUCAGCCCGCCAUUGCGCCCCACCACUGUCCCGCUGUCUACGGUUGGGCACAAGGGAGGUACUUUUAAAAGAAAUUUUUAAUUUAAAUACGAGAAUGUCAAUUUCUAAAUUCUGGGGCUGUUUAGUGAUUGUUUGGAUUUCUUGGUGGAUUUGGUUGGCCGUCUGAUUAAAUUCUUCCUUGUGUGAUAACCAGUGGUACUGGUUGGGGUCUUUCGACCAUAGUUGUUGCUUAUAUUUGGUCAGAUGUCUGCUUGUUUGAAAGUUCACGUUCUUGUGAUUGAGUUGUUGCUCAAAUUCUGAUCUGCUGUUGCUAGAACUUUUGGUUGGUUGAGUUGUGCAAUUGACUGUCCAAUUGGAGACAGUUAUUGAGAUCUUAGGUGGGAUGGUGUCCAAUUGCUAAAAUUUGUUGCUUUGUUUCGUCACUCGCACUGCUCCUAGUUUGUUCGAGUGAAAUUGGUUGGAUGUUCUUUGCCCGUGGAGUGUAACUGUUACAUUGUUUGGGGCAGUUUUUUGGUAUUGAUUGAAUUGUUGGGCGUAAAUUGCUCAGGACUUUACAUUGCUAAUUUGGUGGGCCAUUUAUUGUGCAUUACCCUUUUGAAUUGGGAGAUACCUGUGCUUAUUGGGUUUUGACUACUUGAGAUUUCUGUUGCAUCUGGGGGAUAAAAUUUGAUGACUUUUGUGCCAGUUUAUUUGUUUGGAAAUUGUUGGGGGUAAUUUGGGAGUUACUUGUCAAUUGGGUCCCGUGUUACCCUCUACCAUUCAGUGGUACUGAUUGGUGUGUUUGGCUUUAUCACAUGUCUUGGGUUGGCCAUUUGAUUUCAAUUUUCCUUGUGCAUGCACCAGUGGUACUGGUGAGGGUAGUUUACAUAAUAUUUGUUACUCCUGUGUUAUUGGUUGCCUAAUCGACUACUGGGCAUUUGUGGUUGAAUUGUUUCUGUCCAACUUCUGAACUGUUGUUGCUGGAGUGCCAUUUUCUUGGGUCAAUUGCUGAUUUUAGCAAGUUGAAGUGGGUAAUUGACUGUCCAAUUGGAGACAGUUGUUACGAUAUUGGGUCCGAUUGUGUCUAAUUGCUGGAAGUUGUUGAUUUAUUAAGACACUAGCACAGUUCCUAGUUUGUUCGAGUUGCUGUUCUGUUGCAUUAUUGGGAGCUGUGCUCUAGUAUUGUGGCUACUUUCCUGCGUUUAUUUGUUGAAUUGGGAUAUGAAUGUGCCUAUUGCUCAUUUUGUUGCAUCUAAUUGACUUGCUUGGGGUAAUCUGCCCAUCAAUUUUAAUUACUCAAGUCUUUGGAGCAGUUGUUGCACAUUUGGACUACUUUGUUUCUAUAUCUGACUGAAUUGGGACCACAAGUGCUUAUCAAUUGCAUUUGCUAUAAGUAUUGGGGUAUUCGUAUAGAUUUUAGGAGCCUGCAUUGUGCAUUUUAUUGUUUGGGUUGCCUACUAGUUACCAUGGUGAAGCCACGAUCCUCCCCCAGGGGCCGAUGACUGGCUCCAACUUUCGAUGACAGUUGAGAGACUGGAGACUCGAGUGACCCACAUUGACAUCGACUUGCAUAACAUGGCGCAGAAUUUGGCAGCACUCCGCCCGACCCGCCCCUGUUUUGACAAUUUCAAGGAAGUACCGUUGCCCUUCUCUUUACUUUUGUUGUUGGUUUAUCACAUUGAGGGCAAUGUGUGAUUUAGGUGUGGGGGGAUCAGUUUGGGUGCUAGUAUUUUUAGUUUUUAGGUUCUAGAGGUUUUUCUUUUGUUUUAGUUUGAUAUUUAGUUCUUUUUUUUUCGUCUAUUUUAUUUUAUUAUUAUUAUUUUUUUUUCUUUCUCCUUUUUUCUAGUGGUCAGUCUUCAUAUGAAUACCAAGUUUGAUACUGGAUUGUUGUCUCUAAUUCUGCUAUUGCCAAGUCUUAUUAAUAAAAGGGUAUUAAGUUAAUGUGCUUGAGUUCAGGAAUAUCUCUUUGGUGAAUAUCGGUAAUUGCUUAACUUUUUCAAUUUUUGGUUAACUUUUCUAGGCAUAGGGAAUGAUUGUUGGCAUUUUUCAUGUGAAUUGGUUCAGUUAUUAAUUUUAGUUCUCCAUGUCUGGAAAUUUGAGGCUGGCUGCUGUUAAUCUUAUGUUGCUUUUAGAUAUCGUGUUAUAUGGUUGUAAAUAAGAGUUGACUGUACUCCGCUAGUGGUUACUACUGAGUAACCGGGGAUUUUCACCUAAAGUGUCGAUUCUCGCGUCAAAAGGUAGUAGUUGCUAUGAAUGCGUGGUCCUGUAGCGAUCGGAGCUGAGUAACCGGGCUCCUCCAUCUGAUAAAUGUUGGAGUUCGCGUCAAAAGGCUCUAAAUGGCUAGAGACUAAGUCUUUUGCUAUUCCCAAAAAAAAAAAGAAAAAAAACAAGUAAAGUUUGUGUUAGUAUUUAAAAAAAAAAAAAAGAAAGUCAGCUUGCCUAUUUGUGAUCUUAAUGUCGAGAUUUUGGUUAAUAGAUGGACCAUUUGCUGAUAAAUGUGAGCAACCAUUCCUUUUCCUUAGAUUAGUUUGCUUCAAAUUGAAGGAGUUGGUGGUUUAGAGGCUAAUCGGGGUGAUUUUUCUUGGAUGUUGACCUGUGAUGCUUGAUAUUUAUUUUUCUUGGACAUCUUGGCAAUACGGUAGUUGGAGUAACAGCCAUGGUCAACUUUUGGUGUUCAAUUGUUGUUCCCAUACUUGAGGGCAAACAUGAUUUAGGUGUGGGGGGAAUUGAUAGGGUGUUAAUUAUUGGUUAUUUUAUUAUUAAUCUCCCUUUUUAUCCUUGUCAAAUAUUGCUUAAUUGUUAAUAUUUACUCAUAUUUGGUAUCUGGAUUUAAUUUCAGGAAUGAAGUAGAAAACUACCAAAAAGGAGGGAUUUUAUGGAGAAUAUGGAAACUUCUAAGGGCUUCAAUUCUUGGGCCCUUGAAUUGGUGGGGACCACAAGCUAGUGAAAGGCAUUUAGUCAUUUGGGCUCUUCAAAAGAAGUUACAUAGAGAGACUUGGAGAAAGAAGUACUUUGGAGGCUUUGUCCAUAUGUGUGGGGACCACCUAGAUAGCUUUUAGUCAUCUUUCUUUUGUUGCUUUAAAAGGGGACAACGUACAGAAGCAAAGGACAUCUAGGGCUUUAGUUUUAGUUUUUUUAGUUUAGUUCUAGUUUCCUUUCUUUGGACUGGCCUCUGACACACGCCAGGUGUUCGACAAUAUUCCCCAACGGGAAGAUUUUCUCAUGAGGCGUGGUUAAGCUUUUCUAGUCAAGGGGACAACUGACGAUUUGGUUCGACAAUUACUGUGAGAUCGAAUCUGUUUUAAUUAUUUUCUUCAUUUAUUGGUAUUUAUAUGUUCCUUGAUUUUAAUUGCUAUGGCCUUGUGUAUGAUUGAUUAGUGCGCAAUAAUUAAUUAUUCAUAUAGGCUAUUUUUGCUAAAUAGGGGUAAUUGAAUCCGUAAUUGUUCGUUAUCUCUACCUCAGUAGCAACUGGCGUAAAUGGGUUUAUGUCAGGGGAGCAUAUGAUCUAAUUUAAACAAACCCUCGUAGCGUGUUUGUUGGUUAGGAUUGGGCCUUUCUAAUUAUUAAUGCAAUCUAGAAAUUAAAUCCUACGGUCGUACCUAGGGUUGUUUUUGGGUUAGAGAAAUAGCUAACGGUCGUACCUUAGCUAUCGAGAAAUUAAGGAAGGGUUGGUUGUUUAUCGCGUGCAUGACAACUAUAACUAAUCUAUUGCUAAAUGUUGGAAUUAUUUCUGCAUCAAUGAUCAGUGCAUGAACCAUUUCUGAUGUGUACCCUUGGCUAGAGUUUCCCCAAUCAUUUCUUUUAAUUAAUUAUUUUCUGCAGUUAAUUUAUUUAGUUAGCAUUUAAUCCAAAACCCCCCAUACUUUGGACUCUAGAAGAAACGAAUUAUCCCCAAUCCCUGUGGAUUCGACCCUACUCACCGCUAUAUACAAAAUCUGUAUCUUUAUUGAGUAGGUAUUUAUUAUUGUACAGGUUCGGCACCUGUCAAUUUUGGGGUGAACACAUUUUGUCAUUAAUUGUUGAUUGUUGGGGGACGUUUUUGGUAACACUUGAGUCUAUUUUGCUGAGUUCUGUUGAUAGAGCAGUUAUUUGGCACAUUUUACAGUGUUAUUUUGUCCUAAUUUUGGCUAUUCAUGGUGUUAAGAAUUGGAAUAUCACUCAUAUUUGAUGUUUGUGUGAAUUGUAGGUGGUCGGCAUUAAAAAUGACCUCUCAAGGCAAAUUUCUAGAAGACUCUUCGUCUCAGAGCAUGGCCACGCCAGAGAAGGUCGAUGUUACCGAAAAGCCGGACCCCGGUCCACGUGAACCGCAAGGAGCACGGGAUUAAAGCUCUAAAAGGCUAGCUUUUGUUUCAAUCAAUUGGGUCAGACAUGACUUGGCUCCUAGAGGCUUCAAUUAAAAAAGAAAAGAAAGGGCCAGACGUCGAGGGAAUGAGAAUGAGGAAACUAGGUCUACAUGGACCAGCUACACGGGAUAAAAACUCCAAUGAAGAGAAGAGCUCUGCUCCGCGUGGAUUUCCCCUGCGGCACUAUAUAAGACAACAAAAAAGGUGAUGCAGCGGAGAAUAUAGAUUAGCUUUGAUUUUCUUUUCGAGAGGGGUCAGGCGAUUGCAGACUUUUGUAGCUUUUCGGUUGUGACACUUGGACUCCUUGGCUUUUGUUUUGACUCUGCACAAUUUACGUUAGUUUUUGUUCGUACACUUGCGGCACCAAAGCAAAGACGAAGGCAGUGCCUUCUCUGUUGUUACUGCAAUUAAUUCCCCUUCCCCAAUUUUCGGCGAAUAAUUGAAUGAAUUCAAUUAAAUCACGCGGGAUUGACACGAUAAGGAGCGGCUAAUUUUCUCCUCUACCCAAAGGUUGACGCGAAGGCGCGGUCCAUAAUAUCUGUGAGAUCUAAUCGAAUUUUCAUUAUUUCUUUCAAUUUAUUGCUAUUCGUACGUUUCCUGAAUUAAUUGUUCAUGAGUAUUUUACUAAUUGAAUAUCAACGGCCGGGUAUUUGAUUUAAUUUAAUAGUCUACUGCCACGUUAAUUAAAUAGAAUCCGUAAUUGUUCAUUUAGUUAACACCUCGUGGCAACCACCAUAAUUGGCUUUAUGAUGGGAAAACGCAAGAUCUAAUUUAAAUAAACCCUCUUAGCGUAUUUAUUGGUUAGGGUUGGAUUCUUCUAGCUUUAAUGCAAUUGGGUAAUUAAAUUCUCACGGUCGUACCUAGGGUUGUUAUCUGGUUAGAGAAGCAGUCAAUGGUUGUACCUUGACUAUCGAAAAAGUAAGGAAGAACUGGUUGUCAGAGCUUAUUGAUAACUAUAACCAACCUAGUGAUGAAUGGAUGAAAUACCUUUGCAUUGAUGAGCAUCUGUCUUGAGUCCAUUGAAGUGCCGUUGGUUGAGUAAUUUCUGCGUCUUUUUGUUGAAUUGGAAGGCUAUUGUGACACUUCCAUUGCACUUUCGGAAUGCAUUGUUUCUGUAUUUGACUAAAUUCAGGCCACCAGUGCUUCUUGAUUGCAAUCACUGUGCUGUUGGGGUAUUUGUACAGCUUUGAGUACCUGAAUUGUGUUUGUGUUGGUUGGAGUACCAUUUAUAGAGAAUGGUGAGACCUAAAUCCUCCUCUAGGUCUAGGACACCUAGAACUUCUCAGCCUCCUCCCACCCUAGGGGCUAACGAUUGGCUCCAACUCCGAAUGCAAGUUAAGAGACCGGAGAUUCGAGUGACCCACAUUGACAUCAACUUGCAUACCAUGGUGCAGAAUUUGGCAACAAUUAUGCACCAUGCGGGUCUUGUUCCUCAGUUUCCGUCUGACCCACCCCUGUUUUGACGACUUCAGGGAAGCACCGGUGCUCUUUUGCUUACUUUUGCUAUUAAAUUAUCACAUUGAGGGCAAUGUGUGAUUUAGGUAUGGGGGGGAUCAGUUGUGGUACUAGUAUUUCCAGUUUUUGAUUUUUAAGUGUUUUUCCUUUGUUUUUAGUUUGAUAUUUUUCUCUUUUUCGUUUAUUUCUUUUAUUCGUGAUCAGCUCUUAUUUGAAUACCAAGUUUUGAUGUUGGAUUGUUGCCUCUAAUUCUGCUCUUGCCAAGUUUUAAUAAUAAAAGGGUAUCAAGUUAAUAUGGUUGAAUUCAGGAACAUCUCUUUGGUGAAUAUCAAUAAUUGCUUAACUUUUCCAAGUUUUGGUUAACUUUUCUAGGCAUAGGGAAUGAUUGUUGGCAUUUUUCAUGUAAAUUGGUCCAAUUAUUAAUUUUAGUUCUCUAUGUUUGGAAAUUUGAGGCUGACUGCUGUUAUUUUUAGUUAUUGUGUUAUAUGAUUGUAAAUAAUAGAUAACUGUACUCCAUUAGUUGUUACUACUGAGUAACCGGGGAUUUUCACCUAAAGUGUCGAUUCUCAUGUCAAAAGGUAGCAGUUACUAUGAGUGCGUGGUCCCGUAGCGAUUGGAGCUAAGUAACCGGGCUCCUCCAUCUGUCAAAUGUUGGAGUUCGCAUCAAAACGCUCUAAGGGUUAUAAACUAAGUCUUUUGUUAUUCAAAAAAAAAAAAGAAAAAAAGAAGCAGAAGAAAACAAAAGAAGCAGAUUGUGUUAGUAUAUGAAAAAGUCAGCUUGCCGAUUUGUGAUCUUAAUAUCGAGAUUUUGGUUAAUAGUUGGACCGUUUGCUGAUAAAUAUGAGCAACCAUUCCUUUUUCUUAGAUUAGUUUGCUUUAAAUUGGAAGAGUUGGUGGUUGGGAAGCUAAUCGGGGUAAUUUUUCUUUGAUCUUGACCUGUGAUGCUUGAUAUAUGUUUUUCUGGAUAUCUUGGCAAUACGGUAGUUGGAGCAAUAGCCAUUGUCAAAUUUUGGUGUUCAAUUUCUGCUCUCAUGCUUGAGGGCAAGUAUGGUUUAGGUGUGGGGGGAAUUGAUAGGGUGUUAAUUGUUAAUAAUUUUAUUGCUAUUUUUCCCCUUUGUCCUUGCCAAAUAUUAUUUUAAUUGUUAACAUAUACUUAUUUUUGGUAUUUGGACCAAUCUACAGGAAGUGGAACUGACAAAUGCUAAAAAGGAGAUUUUAUUGAGAAAAAUCCUUCACAUGCUAGAGCCUCCAGCGGAUAUACAAGUUGGGCCCACAUGGUGUUACAAAUUCGGUUGCUGAUGGGGAGCUCUUAUUAUUGGGAGUUGACUUGUACGUGUAGGAGUCCUCCUACCAAGAGGAAACAAGAAAAAAGGAAUUCGGCAGAGGCCCAUCUUUUGUACUUAGCUUUCUCAAUUCGGUAGGGACCAUGGACUAGAGGUUUUCAUUAGUGAUUGGACUUUAAAAGGGAAGAAACGUAUAGAGGCUUGGGGAUUAUUAUGAUUAGCGUAGCUUUAGUUUUAGUGGUUAGCUAGCGUUUCCUUUUCAUGCGCACGAGGUGCUCGACAAUAUUUUUCAACGGGAAAAAAAAACAUCUUUUACUCUUGCUUUCUAGUGAAAAACUUGAUGCCUUUGCAAUCAAUUAAUUUGCGUGGAGAUUUAAUUAUGCGGCGUGGCUAAGCCUUUCAUCUAGUUAAGGAUCAACUCGAUGGUACAGUCCCAAAUAUCUGUGAGAUCUAAUUAGUUUUCACGCGUUUCUUAAUUUGUUAAUAUUUGCACGUUGCCUAUUUGAAUUUUCAAGGGAUUAUUUUGUUAAUUGGAUGUCAAGGGCCCGAUGUUCAAUAUGGCUUAUUAAUCUCCUUCCAAAUUAGUCAAUUAAAUCCGUAAUUGUUUGAUUGAUUAAUAUUAGUGGCAACUGGCGUGUUUAUACACUAGGGGAACGUGCAAUCUAAUUUAAAUAACGCUCGUAGCGUGUUAUUGAUCGGGGUUAGGUUUUUCUAGUUAUUAAUGCAAUUGAAAAAUUAAUUCCUACGAUCGUACCUAGGAGUAUUUUCUGAUUAGGAAUAAUCAAUGGUCGUACCUUGAUUAUCAAUAAAUAAAAGAAAAAUUGGUCGUUAGAAUUCGUCGGCGACUAUAACUAGCCUAUUAAUAAAUUAAGUGAACCUCCCUUGCAUCAAUGAUCGAGUAAGUGGACUGUGUCUGAGUAGUUGUAUCAUUGGCUAGAAUUUAUCUAUUCUUGAUUUAAUUCCUGCCUAUAUUCGUGCAAGUUAAUUAUUUAUUUUUAGUGAAUUUUUUAAUUAUUUUUAGUUUUACUCCGAUAAAAUCCUCCUUUAUCAAUUGGAAUCUCAAAGAGACAAAUAUCCCCAGUCCUUGAGGAGAUGACUCUACUUGCCACUGUCUACUAUUUAGUAAGUUUUGUCAACUAAUUAAUUCUGAUAUAUCGGAUUAAGCAAACUUUUCGAGAAUAGGGUGAAUCAAGUAACCCAUUACACACCUAGAGUCCCUGCUCCAGUAUUUAGGAUUAAUUAUUGACUGUUUUUAGUGGUAUUUAUAUUUUUAUUAUUAUUAUUGCAUAGGCUCGACACCUGUCAAUUUUUGUGAUGUUGACCCAAACAACAAAGGACGGGUUAUGUGAUGUUGACCCAAAUAACAAGUCUUCACUAGUGAAUGUGAUAUUUGUGAUAUCCACCUCUUUAUUACCAGUGGGCACGUGAGUUAUCUCACAAGGAGAUUCGCGAGUAUCAUCCUUUGUUCUUCAAUAUCAUCAACUUGCGUUGUGUGACAUGAGACCAUAUCAAUAUCAAAGAAUCUUUUAGAUAUGAAUUCUUUUAAAAUGAUAGAAACUCGCGACUUUUGCUUGAAUACUUGAUUUUCUUGAAGAUUGUGAUUAUUAUUAUUUUUCUCUAUAUUCUUCUCUUUUCUCUUCCAGACCAUUCUACUUCUUGUUAAGGCCUUGUUUACCUUAUUAGAUGGACGAGAGUUUCAUCUUCAUCUUCGCGUGAUCAGAGUUCAUCCAUCAUCAUCUACGUCUGAUUGUAAUGACUUCUCAUCUUCAUAUUCAUAUUUUUGAAGAGCUGAAGGGGCGAUUUUUUGUUCAACUUCUAUAGGAUCAAAUGAUCCAAAUUGAAUGGUUGGCAAUAUAGGUAUCGUAAACUUUUCGACUUCCAUGGACUGUAGUGAAUCAACGGAGGUUUGAUUCAUACUUGCUUUGUUUUUUUCAAGAAAAUUUUUUUCUUGUCUUGCCAAAUCCAUCAUCUCAUCUUUAAAGACAAAGUAUUUUUGAAUGGGAUGUCCAACCAAGCAAUGAUACUUGAUUUGGAUCAUCCGUAUUACUAAUCUCGUCAAGUCAGUUCAUCUUGGAAGCAUGAUCAAGUUCAUGCUUAACAAAUUAUCAAAUAUACUAGGAACAUCAGAAUCAAGGAAAUUGUACUUCUUGUUUUGCAUCUCCUUGAGUGUUGGUUUUUUCUUUCCUUCGUCUUGAUGCAUACUGGUUUUCUUGUCUUCUCUUUUAGCAGUUCUGAGAAUAAUCUUGAAAGGUGUUAUACUUGCAGCUAUGGCCUCUUUCUCACUUUGAUUGGGGGCUUGCCUCCUUUCCUCACUUCUUGUUUCUCCUUAGCCUUGCGAGAAUCAGGAAUUGGCGGCUCUUGUCCAUCAAGGUUAAUUUCUAUCUUAUGAGUUUUUGGGGAUAAUUCAUCAAAUAUUUCUGGUUAUACCCCUUACAAGAUAUAUCUGAAUCCCCAAUGCAAGUCUUGAAUACACAUCUCAAUAGCGGAAGACUCGAAAAUUCGAUCCUUACAGUUUAGGCUUAGAUUUUUUCGAGCGAUUGAUAAAGUUAAUAACAUGUUCAUUCUUUCACUAGCACAUAUUUUAGAGUUCAAUUAUGCUGACAGUCCUUUUCGUGCUAUAGAAGCAAUUAAGGAAUUCCUACUCUAAUUGCUCCCAACUGUCAAUGCUGCUAGAUUCUAAAUCUGUGUACCAAUCAAACGUGUUACCCUUCAAUGAGUGAACAAAUUGCUUAACUAGCAAGUCACCAUUAGUGCCAGCAUUGUUACAAUUUUCGACAAAGUGCGCAAUAUGUUGUUUAGGGUUACCUUUGUCAUCAAAUUAUUGAAACUUUGAAAAUUGAAAUCCUACAAGCAUCUUCAAACAUUUACUCUUGUGGUGUAAGGUUUGAUAUAAUUGCUAUAUGACUUGGUAUUUCCACCAAUCUUGUCCUUGAUCGUACCUUUGAUAAACUCCUUUAAAUUAUCAACAUGAAUGGUACUAUCAGGAGAGAUUGAAAACUCCUUCAUUAUUCGUGACUUGGUAUCCUCUUUCUCUUUCUUCCUUGAUGAUGAGUUACCUUCAUAUUUUUUACCAUGGCCAUUAGUUUGGCUAUUUUGGCAUCUUGACUUUGCACGUGCCCUGCUAGCCCUUCGACAAUUUGGCAAGAUUUGAAAUUUGAUCUCUACGGUUGUGGUGUUAGUCAUCAUGAUGGGCAUUACCACAGAAGUAGCUAAAUUGCUUGAGCUAUCAGCAGAUUCAUCAUGGACUCCCUUCUUGUUGGGAAAAAUCUCAAAAUUUUUUCUUUCAACCACAGCAUUCGCCUUAACCCUAUCUACUAAUUUCUUAGCCUUGCUCCUUGUCAUAGGUGUAGUAUACUGCAUCUCCUGAGUUGUUGGGAUGCCAGCAACUGAGCCUUCAAGAGCAAAACUCAUCUUCUUGGACUCCAUUGAUUCUUGAAACAAGUAAGCUAUUCAAAGAAAAGAGAUGAAAAACAGAGAUGGUCCCACCAGACGUGUCAUAAAAUUUGUGAGCAUAAAUUUUGUUGCCUAAAAUAAAGACAAGAAAAUUUGCAUAAAUAUCAAAUUUAUUAAAUCAAAUAAUAAAUGGGUUAUAAUUUUUGAAAAUUCUUGAAUUAAAGAUAUUAAUCUUCUAAUUCUUCUCUUCAAAAACUUCAAUUGAAGGGUUGAAAAGACUUGUUUACCGAUCAAGAGGGUGUUUCCUACGAUUUUGACAUAGAAAACCGCUGAUUUGAUGAUGACGUUAAAUAGUUGAUGUUGGGUUUGGAUUUUAUUCCACCAAUCGUUCAUUUUGUUGGAUUUGAGUUUUAUACCACCAACUGUGGGAUAAAACCCAAUCCCAAUAAAAUGAACGGUUGGUGGGAUAAUACUCAAAUCCAAUAAAAUGAAUGAUUGGUGGGAUAAAAUCCAAACCCAACACUUGUAUCUUUAAAUCUUCAAUGUCGAUAGAAGGAGGAUUUAUUUUAACUUGAUUUGGAUUUGAAUUUAAGGGAAAAUGCUCUCGAGAGAAUUUGACAGAAUUUCUUCAAAAUUUAGAAAUUUCAAUGUGUUUUUGUACUAAGAGAAUACCUUUAUUUAUAGGCAAAAUAUGUAGAUUAUGUCUUCAAGAAAAUUCUCCAGAACCUUCUUGCGUUUGGGUAACUUGUACCUCAAGAAACUCAUUUAACUUAGGUUUAAAUAGUGGGCCUAUUCAAAUAAUCCAUUGUGAAUUAAUACAUCAAUUAAUCCACUUUAAUUUAAAUGGGUAACACAUUGAUUUGAUUUGAUUUAAUAGCCCAUAUAUCAUUGGUCUAUUUUGUCAAUCAAAACAUAAUAGACUGCUAUAAUUUAAUUUAAUGUAAUCAAGAUCAAUUUAAUUUAUUUAAUCUUGACUAAAUAAAUUUUCUUUGUCUACAGCAUGUACGUGUAAUUUUCCAAAUAAUGAUACUUUUCAAAGAGAGUUUUCAAAUAAUGAAAGUUCUAAAACAAGGCAUUCACCGAAUGCGUGAAUGUAUCUUUUUAAACAACGCAUUUAGUCAAUACGUUUUUAAGGAAAAAUGCCUAUACAAAUAAAAGAAUGAAUUCUAUAAAUGUGUCUUUUGAGGAAACAACACAUUUACUAAGUACGUUUUUUCACUCUUUGGGAAGAAGUUCAAAAAACACCACCAUUUGAAAGGUAAUUUUAGAAAAUCCCACUUUUUGAGAAUUUACUCAAGCUUGUACUUGACAAAAUGUGUUGGGAAAAUUGUGACGUCAGGUGAAUUGUAAAACUGUUGUGCCAUCGUAAUGUAUGUUUUGCACUAGAUUGAGUAAGAAUUAUAUCAAAAUAGUCGGCCACAAUAUAGGAAUGUGAAAACUUUGUGUUAAGUAAGUUGUAAUAUUUUUGUAUCAUCUAACGUAUAUUUGAAAACGAUUGAGAAUAUAAUAUAUGGAAACAACAGGUCACAAUGUUGAAAUGUCAAACCUCUUGUUUCAAACCAAAUACUUAUUAAACUCCUUCAUAUCGCUAACGAAUUUUGAUUCUGAAGUAAUAAUAGUUUUAUUUAAUUAUUUGCCUUUUUUGGAACAAUAUUAAAAUGUAGCCAUAAAUUUAAAUUCCAAAAUUGUUGAAUACUUGAGGAAUUCUAGAAAUGGCACUGAGAGUCAAAGUUCACCUUAUUCAAAAGUCACCAGCCAUCUCAGAGUGCAUGUUUCUAUUGAGUUUCAGGUUCAAUGUGUACCCACUUCCACUUUUGGCUGAUCAAUCAGGACUAAGGUUCCGUUUGAUAAAACUGAAUCUGAAUUCUGAAAUCUGAAUACUGAAACAAUUAAUUUGCUGAAUUUUAAGUUCUGAAAAGAAAUAUAUGAAUGUCUGAAUUUUAAUGUUAAAUCUAUUUCUACUGUUUGAUAAACAUUUAUAACUGAAUGCUUAAUAAGUUAAAUUUGACAAAUUUGCCCUUAAUCUUUUCAUCCAAAAAAGAAGUAGAACCUAUGAUUUAAUUAGGUAAAAAUGUUAGGUAUGAAAAUGACAAUAUUUAUUUUUAAAUCAAAUUAAUAUAAAAGAUGAAAUAUAUUAUAUGCGGAGUGGAGAAGAUGUAAAAAUCAUUCAAAAUGGAGAAAAAAGAAAUAGAAAAUCAUUAGAUAGAGAAUAUUAGAUUGUUUAAUUAGAUAAGAAUUUUGAACAUAAUUAACAAACAAUGGUAGAUUUGAUAGAUAAGAUAAGGUAAUUGAAGUAAUUCUAUUGAUUCUUAUCAGAAUUAAGUAUUCAGUUAGGAUUUUUGUGCUGAAAAAAAUACACACAAUUUCAGCACUACUUAACAAGUUCAGCAAAUAGAUUUUCAUUUAUCAAACAUUCAAAACAUCUAAAUGUCUAAAAAAAUUUAGAUUCAACACUUUUUUAUAUUAUUAAACAGACCCUAAGAGAAUAAAAUAACUUGCUUGCUGUUAGCGAUGGCAACGGGGCGGGGUUGGGGCGGGGGACCCCUCCCCCGUCCCCCGCCCCGUUGCCUAUUAGUUCCCCCUGUCCCCCGCCCCCCCCCCCGCUUCCCCCGCGGGGUUAAUAAAAUUUUAUUAUAAUUAAAUUUUAAUAAAUAAUCAAUUACUAAAAUAUCAACACAUCACCAAAUUAUUAUUCAUUGUAAUUUUACAAUUAAAACUCAUAAAAACAAUCAAACAAAAGUUAUUUGAAUACAAUCCAAUAUGAUGAAAUAAAUAUAACUAAAAUAGUUAAGUUUUCGCUUUUAGUACAAAUGCAAUCACUAAUUCAUUAUUGUGUUUGUGCUUUUCUUUUGAGAAAAAAGUGUUAUUCUAUUAAGUGUAAUUAGAAAUUUAGUAUAAAUGUAUUAGUAAAUUUAGUAUAACUAAUUAAUAAAUUUUAUUAGUAGACAUGUAUAAUUAUUCAUAUAAUUGAUAAUAUCAAUUAUAUUACAUAAACUACUAUACAUUAUAUAAUACAUCUAACUAAUAAUAUCAUUAUCAUAAGUUUAUAACUAAUUAACUUACAUAUUAUAUAUAAUUAUAUAUAUAUUUUUUUUAGGGUGGCGCGGCGGGGGAUGGGGCGGGGGUAUACUCCCCCGUCCCCCGCCCCGUUUCUAAGCGGGGGGAAAAAUUCCCCCCCCCGCCCCAACCCCCGCCCCGAGAGCCCCCCGUGGGCACCCGCCCCCAUUGCCAUCCCUACUUGCCGUUUUUAAAAAAGGAUUCAUUAUUUUUUCUUUGAGCAUUGGUAUCUCCACCCUCAAUGACACUAAUCUGGAUUCAAUAUGAGGAGUGUCCGUAGAGGCUGACUCUUACUCGAGAGUAAAGACUUGACCCAGAGCUUUUCAAGGCGUCAUCAUAUGUAGGAGUCAAACUUAUGAACUCUGUGCAUAGAUAAUUUAGCUCCAGUCUGUGGAAUGUCUUGAUGUUAGGUGAGUUGUAAUAUUUUGGUAUCAUCUAAUGAAAUUUUUAAAAGAUUGAGAAAUAAUAUAGAGCAAAACACCAAUUUAUUCCCUAAAUUAUUUUGCUAAAAUCAAAAUACUCCGUAAAUUUAUUUUGAGUCAGUUUAGUCCCCCAACUAUUUUUACAAAGCUGAAAUAGUCCUUAAACUUUAUUAUGAGCCAAUUUAGUCUCUCAACUAUUUUGUUUAAGUGAAAUAGUACCCCACCUUUAUUUAUUUGGCCAGUUUGGUCCUUGUUUGACUCAUCCACCCAAUUUAUCAACCUUGUGCACUAACAAUCAGGGGCAAAAUAAGAAAUUUAGUCAAUGCCCUUACUAAAAUGAUAGAAGAAUUAGAUAUCUGGCAAAAUUAAAAACAAAAUUGAAUCAUAUAGAGAACAAAAAAAUAUAGUGUUUCUUAUGGAGGAAAAAAAUGGAGCUGAUGCCUAAAAUCUCACAUGGAUCCAACUCAGUCCAUUGAAUGGAGAAAAGGGAAAAUAACACAACAAGAAUAUGUUAAAAGUUGGAAAAUGUGCUAUAAUUAUGAUUACUCCUUUAAGAAAUAAAGCUGAAAGAAGCUCAAUUUCUUUUUGUUUUCCAUAUUAUUCAAUUUCGUUGUCGAUUUUUCGAUAGAUGUAUGUUUUUUUUUUUGUUUUAAUAAGGGCUAUGAUUGGAUUUCCUAUUAUGCCAUUGGCUGUCGAUGCUACACUUGAUAAAUUAGAUGGAUCAUCCAAAUAAAGACAAAAUUGGCUAUGUAAACAUUAGUGAGGGACUAUUUCAGCUUAAGAAAAAUAGUUGAGGGACUAAAUUGGCUUAUAAUAAAAUUAGGGACUAUUUCAGCUUUGUAAAAAUAGUUGAGAGACUAAAUUGACUCAUAAAAUGUUUAGGGACUAUUUUGACAUUAAGGAAAUAGUUUUGGGACUAUAAACAUUAGGUCACAAUGUUGAAAUAUCAAAACCCAUGUUUUGGACCAAAACUCAUAGAACUUCUUCACGUCGCUAACGAAAUUUGAUUAUGAAGUAAUGCUAAUUUUAUUUAUUAUUUGUUUCCUUGCUGGUCUUCUGUCUUUUUGGUUAUUCCAAAAUUGUUGAAUAUUUAAACGAAUUCUAGAAAGGGCACUGAGAGUCAAAGUCUUAUUCAAACAGCCAGCUAUCUCAAAGUACAUAUUUUUUUAUUAUCAGGUUCAAUAUGUAUCUAUUGCAAUUUUUGAAUGACCAGCCAUGACUAAGAGAAUAAAAUAAUUCACUUGCUGUUUUUAGAUAUGAAUUCAUGACUGUCAGUAGUCUAUAAAUACACUUAUUGCUCACCACUCUUUGCACCGCAAAAUCUCUUCAAGAUCCAACAAACCCUCCUGUUCUUGGUCUUUGUCCAUUUGUGAAAAAACAAAUUAAAGCGUCAUGGCCCCUAUCACUUGUAGUGCUGAGAUGACCUCCCCAAUCCCUCCUGCAAGGUUGUUCAAGGCCGCCAUCCUUGAUGACCACCCUUAAUGCCACAGGCUAUUAAGAGUGUGGAAAUCCUUGAAGGAGAUGGUGGCGUUUGAACCAUUGAGUUGAGCACAUUUGGUGAAGGUUAGAUGUUAUAUUAAAUGUAGAACCCCAAAUUUAAGGAUCUAAUAAUAAUCAAUGCGUGCAGGGUUACAGAAUUGGAGGGAUAAAACAAAUACUCAAAAUAUACGUGGAAGAAAAGAAAAAUAAUAAAUUCAACUCACAAUAUUAUUGAAAUUUCAAACAAUGAAGAAAAUCAUACCACAAUGAAUUCAACUGGUUCUAAUAAUAAUCAAAGCAUACAAGGUUACAGAAUUAAAAGGAUAAAACAAACACUCAAAAUAUAUGUGGGAGAGAAGAAAAUAAUAAAUUCAACACACAAUAUUAUUGAAAUCUCAAACAAUGAAAAAAGUCACACCAUAAUAGAAAACCUUGCUAAUGCUUCUAGAUUCUUUCUCUUGAGAAACCAACCUAAAUAAUGUUCUAUUUAUAAUCUACCAAACUUGUUAGGAAAGAAACCACUUGCAUAAGAAAUUACCAAAUAAUACAGAAAUUCCUAAAUCACACAACUACUAAAAACAUAACUCAAAUAAAACUAAAAAAUAAAUAAAUAUUACUAGGCUUAGUUUAAUUUGUCAACAUUGCCUCCUUUAAACCAUACUAUCCAUUGAGAUAGGUUCAACACCAUCUCGAGCAAUAAUUUCUAUGCAAAUCUAUGUUGUAGUACACUUGACAUGAAACUCUAACUUGUUACCAGUUAUUAAUUUCAUUUUUACACGUAACAGUGGACACACUAUGUAUUGUGUAAACAACUUCUCAGCAAUUUCUUCUUGAUCAAAGAACUCACUUAUACAAACCCAUUCAUCACCAGAAUCACCAUAUUUACCACCAAUGUAAGUGCCUAAAAAUACAAAAUCAUAGAUUUCUUUCUCGCUAAAAUUAUCAUCACCAAAUAAUUCAAAAUAACCACUACUACAAUCAUCCAAAAUUUUCAUACUGUCAGUCAACUCUUUUGGAGUAAAAUAUUUUUCAACUCCGAUGACAUCCAUAUCUAUUAAAUCAAACAUUCUCCCAUCACUUUGAAGAGAGUCCGAACCAACGAAUUUUUCAACAACAAUUUCAUGUUCUCUUCUCUUAUCAAAUCAAAAUUUUUUUCUUCUUUUGUCAAAUUACCAUAUUAUUUUUUUCAACAAAUUCAUUACUUCUAAUUUCUCCAAACAAGGUACGCAAAUCAAAACUAUCAAUUGAUUCAAAAUUUUCGAUAUCACCCAUAUUAUCAACAAAUCUAUCAUUUUUAAAAUCCACAAACCAAUACCAAUAAAUAGACUUCGGUUUGAAAGCAUAAUUUCUCCCAAUCGUGUGCAAAACAUAGUAAAUAUCCUUCCAAAAUCUCUAAAGUAUUUUAAUUAGUACGACCAAUAAAGGUUUUAUAAACACUUUUUGCCAUUAUUUUACGCAUCACUUGAAAGAAUAAUUGUGCCUUUUUCUUAAAAACAUGUUUUGACAACUUACUUGCAUCAACCCAACAAAGAAUAUCAUCCAAAUUACAUUGUUUAACAUAUUUUUCCACUAUUAAAAUCCAACCAAAAUAUGUAUGUCCAUUUGUGCUUAUAGGAGUCAAUAUGAAAAAUUUUUCACCGUGAAUCAGAUCUUUAUAAUAUUCCAUUAUUUAACAAUUUGUAUACCUGGAUAAAUUUUUUUCCUCCAUCCUGUCAUGUUUUCUUGGCCUCCCUGGUUGACUAACCAAAUUAUUGUUGUAUGUAUACCCAUGCUCGUCAAACCUCAUUUGUGUACACUCGUAAGGAGUGGUUCUGAGCUUCUUGUGAAUGCUCAGUACCAAGAAGUAGAAGAGAGAAUGCAUAAGAGAGAAUUAACUUGGCUAUAGAAAUAGGAAACAAUUGAGGGAUUUUUUAAGAAAUUAAUUCUCCAGCUACCACUUUUGGAAAUUUUCUAUCAACAACUAGUUACCAAAACACUAGCACAUAAUAAGAAAUCAGGAUAAUUUCAGAAACCUCCCUUGAGGCUUUUAAUAACCUCAAGAAGCUCCCCUCAAUAUUUUAAAAUUACACGUACCUUCCCUAUUGGUGCAAAAGUACUCUACUACCCCUAAUAGGAUACUCAAAAGACUUUUUUUUAUGGGAAAAAUGAAGCUCAGAAAUCCAAGCAAAAUCAAAAAAAUCAAUUGAUUUUCUCUUUUAGCCUUUUACACUUUUGCCUUCUACCUUUGCUCACUUUCCCAUCCCAAUCUUCCUACACCCGCUUUCCCAAUCCCCUUUCCCCAACUUUUCUCCUCUACUUCAAGACCAAUUUUUGUCUAUCUAUCCUGGCUUGUGCUUUGUUCCAUUCCCUUCCCUUCUCCUUCUUUGAUUUCGCCUACAUCUCCCUUUCUCUUUGCAAAAGUGACUAGGCUCAUGUCUCUCUUUUUCCCCCCUAUUCUAAGUGUAGUGGGUUUGAUUAUUUUGCAUCUAUUUUAUUUGAUUUGGGUUGAUUAUGGGUGAUAGAACUUGGCGAUGUCAAAUAUCAAAAGUUUGAUAGAUGGAUAUUGGGCUUUAGACAAUGAUUUGCUGAAAAAAAUGGCUGCAAUGAGACAAAGAGGCAAGGGGAUUUGAGUGUGGGGUUGAUUGUUGAUAAAUUGUUGUUUUGGACAAAAUUUGAGGUUGAGUUUUAUUAAAUUUGAUAGCAAGUGGCGAGUUUUGUUCAGGUUGCGGGAAAUAAAUUAGAUUGUGGUUUCUUGGGCACCCACAGUUGUUGGAAUUGGUUUUGAUUCAAAUUAGGGUGGUUACUUGAUUUUCCUAAUAGUGUUGCUUAAAAGCACACGAUCAUCAAAAUUCCUUAUUUUUAUCUUUUGUUUUUUCUUGUAGAAAAGAUUUCACGACUUUCGUGAUAGUCUAAUUUGGAAGAAGGCAAUCAAGGGAUGCAAUCAACAUUUAGCAAAAGCUCUUGUUCUUUCCUUUGUAAUUUUUAGGGUAAAAAGGGUAGUUUAGGGUAUUUGAAGGAAAUGAUAGUCUAUUGGGUCUAUUUUCAAGCAUAAAUAGUGAACGUAAGGGAGGUUGGUGUAAUUUCUGAAACCUAAGGGAAAUUGUCUGAAAUUGUUCGAGACCUCAGAGGAGGUUUUCGAAAUUAUCCCUAAGAAAUCAAAUGCGAAACUUGAUUAGUACACGCACACACGACACCGCACCACGCCGCGCGUGUGUUGAGGAUUGGUGUCCGUAACCAACGACAAGCAGGUUUUCAAUUUUUUUUUCCUUUCCUGGAUUCUCCAGAGAUGGUGUCAGCUUCUAUUAUUGAUGAGCAGGAGGAAAUCCACAAUAUACAGUACACAUCACCCAUAUUCUUUUUAAUUGAACAAUGUAUGAAAUUAUGGUGAUUCGAAAUUAAAUUAUAUGUUUAUUGGGCACUGAAUCCAAAAUAAGAGUUGGAAAUGUAUUGUGACAACAAUUGUUAACAUAGGCCACAAAUGAUCAAAACAAAUAUUUAAGGUUUAAUAUGACAUUAUGGGUUCAGAAUAUAGUUACUUGUUAUGAAACAACUAAAAGUAUGGAUAUCCAUUUGUAUUUUCAAGAGGAUCAAUUCAUAAUUCAUUGCUCCCAAGAGGAUUAAUUCAUAAUACAUUGCUACAUUAUGUAAAGGAAUUGCAUUGGAUGAACGGUUUCAAUCCAUAAAAGCUAUUUAUGUAUUGGAUGAACCGUUUCAUAUGGCUAUUCAUGUUCUUGUAGUAAUGAGUGUUUAAUAGAAUUGAUGUACCUUUAAUUUUGUAGUACCUAUAUAUACAGGUACUUUGGCACCUCUUGGGUAUACUUUUUGAUUAGUUGGAAUAAUAAGAAAAUUAUUCUUCAUUUCUGUACUUCUUUCUCUAAUAUUUCAAUUCCUAUUAUAGUAGUUCAUUUUUUUUAGUUUUACAACACGUUAUUAGCAUGAGUCUCUACUUUUGAACAAAAAGGUGAAAACGGAGCCUCUACCUUAAAAAAAAGUGAAACACGAGAUUCUGCCAAAAUUUUGCCCGUAUUUUUCCGGCAACUUCUGUCCACUUAUUGAGAAAUGGAUGCCAAAUAUUUGGGAUUAAAUAAUGGUGAUGAUGAUAUUUGUCUCAUUGAUAGUGCUACUACGCACACUAUAUUGAAAAAUAAAAAAAAAAUUUCUUGUAUGAAAAUGGGAGAGACAAAUGUUAAUACCAUAACUGGUAGUGCAAAAUUGAUUGAACGCUCCGGAAUAGCCUCUCUAUUUCUUCAUGAAGGGACUAAAAUUGUCGUAAAUAAUGCACUACUGUCUCCCAAGUCUCGGAGAAAUUUAUUGAGUUUUAAAGAUAUCUGCGAAAAUGAAUACUAUAUAGGGAUAAUGACUGAGACAAAUGGAGAAUUUUUAUUAAUCACAAGUAUCAUUUCUGGGCAGAAAUGCGUAGUAGAAAAAUUACCUUCUUUUUCUUCUAGCUUAUAUUAUGCACAAAUUAGUGCAAUUGAAAUUUAUCACCUAGUAGACCAGAAGUCUACUCAUCCCAAUAAUUUUAUGAUUUGGCAUGAUCGUCUCGAAAAUACUGAAUCUAUAAUGAUGAGACGAAUAAUCAAGAAUUUACAUGGUCACUCAUUGAAAAAUUAAAAGAUAUUAAAAGCAAAUGAAUUCUCCUGUGUUGCUUGUUCCCACGGAAAAUUAAUUAUUAGACCAUCACCAGUUAAAGUUGGGACUGAAUUCCCUACAUUUCUAGAACGAAUUCAUAGUGAUAUAUGUGGACUCGUAGAUCCACCAUGUGGACCAUUUCGAUAUUUUAUGGUGCUAAUUGAUGCAUCAACUAGAUGGUCACAUGUAUUUUUAUUAUCUACUCGCAACUUGAUAUUUGCGAGAUUGCUUGCUCAAAUAAUUAAAUUGCGAGCACAAUUUUCAGACUAUCUAAUAAAGAAAAUUCAUUUAGAUAAUGCUGGUAAAUAUUCGUCACAUGCUUUUGACAAUUAUUGCAUAUCUAUUGGAAUAACUAUUGAACAUCUUGUAACUUAUGUUCACACACAAAAUGGUCUAGCCGAAUCAUUUAUUAAAUGGUUACAAUUAAUUGCUAGACCAUUGUUGAUGAGGUCUAAACUUCCUUCAUCUGCUUGGGAAUAUGCUAUAUUAUAUACAGCAAUACUUGUGAGAAUUAGACCGACAAGUUAUCAUACUUAUUUUCCUCUAUAAUUAACUUUUGGUUAUAAGUCAAAUAUUUCUCAUUUACGAAUAUUUGGUUGUUCGGUUUAUGUUCGAAUUGCACGGCCCCAAUGUCGUAAAUUGGGUCCACAAAGAAGAUUGGGGAUAUAUGUCGGAUAUAAAAUCACCUUUAAUUAUUAAGUAUAUGGAACCAUUGACAGGUGAUUUAUUUACUGCAAGAUUUGCAGAUUGUCAUUCUAAUGAAUCACAUUUUUCGACAUUAGGGGGAGAUAAAAAUCAAUCGAAAAAGAAAAUCACUUGAAAAAUAUCAUUCAAUUUUCUCGAUUCUCGUACCAAAGAAUGUAAACUAGAAGUUCAAAGGAUUAUACAUUUGCAAAAAAUUACAAAUCAACUACUGGACGUAUUUAAUGACUCCAGAAGAGUUAUUAAAUCACAUAUUUUUAUUGAAAAUACUCCGAUUAAAAUUAAUGUCCUUGAAGGACAAAUUACAAGUGUUAAUGAGUGUAAAGUGCGCCUGAAGCGUGGGAGACCUCUUGGUUCUAAAGAUAAAAAUUCUCGAAAGAAAAGAGAAAUUGAUGAAUCAACAAUUAGUGACAAAAUUCAACCUCCUGAAGAAGUCGCUCCUAAAGAGCCAAUUCUUGAAGAUAAUGAAAUUAUAGAAAAUUCAAUAAAUUUUGUCGCUUCAGGAAAAAGUUGGAACAAAAAAAAAUUAUUAAUAGUAUUUUUGCAUAUAAUGUAGCACUUGUUAUUAUGGUAGGUAAUGAAGAUCGUGAGCAUAGAUCGGUUGAUGAAUGUCGACGUAGAAAUGAUUGGCCAAAAUGGAAAGAUGCGAUUCAAUCUGAAUUGGACUUACUAGCUACAAGAAAAGUUUUUGGGCCUGUAGUCCAAACACCUGAAGGUGUAAAGUCAGUAGGAUAUAAAUGGGCAUUUGUGAGAAAAAGAAAUGAGAAAAAUGAAAUCGUGAGGUAUAAAGCAAGACUUGCAACCCAAGGAUUUUCACAAAGGCCUGGAUUUGAUUAUGAUUACACGUAUUCACCUGUAGUGGAUGCUAUCACAUUUAGAUAUCUUGUGAGUUUUGCAGGACAUGAAAAAUCAGAUAUGCAUCUAAUGGACGUCGUUACUGUAUAUUUAUAUGAAAAUUUUGAAAAUGAUAUUUAAACGAGAAUCCCUGAAGGAUUCAACAUGCCUGAAGCAUGCAAAUCAAAUUUUAAAGAUAUUUAUACUAUUAAAUUACAAAGGUAUUUGUAUGGGUUCAAACAAUCUGGACGUAUGUGGUACCGCCUCAAUGAAUGUUUAACUAAAGAAGGCUAUACCAAUAAUCUAAUACAUCCAUGUGUCUUUAUCAAGAAAAAUGGACUAAUUUUAUGAUAAUUGUUGUCUAUGUUGAUAAUCUUAAUCUGAUUGGAACUCUUGAAGAGAUUCAAAAUAGUGUUGAAUAUUUGAAGAAGAAGUUUGAAAUCAAAGAUUUUGGAAAAACAAAAUUCUACAUUGAUUUACAAAUUGAGUGAUAGGUUGCAAUUUUAUCAUUUAUUUUAUUAUUAAUUUUCCCUAUUACUUAACCCAAUGUGAAUUAAUUAUUAGAUUCUACUCACUUUUAGUAUUUUACAUAUAUUUCAGGGAGUAGAACGAAAAUACCAUAAUAAGUGCCGAUUUGACAGUUAUCAGGAAAGAGUUCAAGUAGCAGGCAUCCAGGGCAUUUUUGGAACAAGGAGAUACAAGUCCUUUUUGGUAAUUCGCAGAGCGCAGCAUUAAAAGGAGGAACGAAGGGCUGAAGUAGGGAGUCUUCUUCCCCCUGGGAGGAACCGCCGCACAGCAGAGGGCUGUCUGGUCCUCUUAGUUUUUCCGUUUCUUUAGUUUUAGCUUCGGAUUUUGACUUUUCUUCUCGUAGGAAUUUUGGGUAGCCUUGAGCUUAGCAACUUUUGUUGACCCUUUUUUGGCCUUUUAGCUAGUUUGUUCUUACGCAUGGAAGAUGGCUGAAUAGCUGAGGCUUGUUCUUUGUUUUUCUUUGACUUUUCCUUUUGGUUUGCUUCCUGCGGACGCCCAGACCGAAGGAAAACUAUGAAGUCCCUUUUGUAGCUUUCUCUCUUUAUUAAAUAGACGAAUUGAAUUCCCUCAACUUGCGAAUUGAUGGCCGCAGCUUUUGCUUCAAUUUCUUGUGGGUUUAGUUCAUUAAUUAUGAACUAAUUCUACAAUUCUAGUCAAGGGGACAACUGACGAUUUGGUUCGACAAUUACUGUGAGAUCGAAUCUGUUUUAAUUAUUUUCUUCAUUUAUUGGUAUUUAUAUGUUCCUUGAUUUUAAUUGCUAUGGCCUUGUGUAUGAUUGAUUAGUGCGCAAUAAUUAAUUAUUCAUAUAGGCUAUUUUGCUAAAUAGAGGUAAUUGAAUCCGUAAUUGUUCGUUAUCUCUAUCUUAGUAGCAACUGGCGUAAUUGGGUUUAUGUCAGGGGAGCAUAUGAUCUAGCUUAAACAAACCCUCGUAGCGUGUUUGUUGGUUAGGAUUGGGCCUUUCUAAUUAUUAAUGCAAUCUAGAAAUUAAAUCUUACGGUCGUACCUAGGGUUGUUUUUGGGUUAGAGAAAUAGCUAACGGUCGUACCUUAGCUAUCGAUAAAUUAAGGAAGGGUUGGUUGUUUAUCGCGUGCAUGACAACUAUAACCAAUCUAUUAAUAAAUGUUGGGAUUAUUUUUGCAUCAAUGAUCAGUGCAUGAACCAUUUCUGAAGUAUACCCUUGGCUAGAGUUUCUCUUAGUUAUUUCUUUUAAUUAAUUAUUUUCUGCAGUUAAUUUAUUUAGUUAGCAUUUAAUCCAAAACCCCCCAUACUUUGGACUCUAAAAGAAACAAUUACUCCCAGUCCCUGUGGAUUCGACCCUGCUCACCGCUAUCUACAGAAAUCACUUUUAGUUUGAGCAGGUAUUUAUUAUUGCACAGGCUUCGACGACCUGUCAAUCUUUGGCGCCGUUGCCGGGGACUGGUGCCAGAUUAAAUUGUUUCUUUUUGAGUUUAUCUUGUUUUCAUUUUUUUAAUUUAUUUUUCUCUUAUUUUUUAUUAUUAUUAUUAUUUUUUUUAUGGCUGCUAACAUUCCAUAUUUUGAUGAUAGACUGGAUUUUGUUCCUGAAUGGGGUUAUGAGACUCAUGUUUUUCCUAACGAUCAAUGGGCUGUUGCAAAUUGUGGAACUUAUUUUGACUCAAGUUAUUCAACUGACACAUGCCCCGUAUUUCAAGAUAAUUUAAGUUCUCCACUUGAUACUUUUGGAGAUUUUUCACCCCAAUAUCAAACGUGGUAUGACCCUUAUUCAAACGGGUAUGAUCAAGGAUGGUGGGAUAAUUCCAAUUUUGAUUAUGCGACCGGGCCAAUGGAUUUUCAACAGCAAGAGUCUCAGCAAUCAUCCUCCGUGUCAGGUAUGUCUCUUGAAGAAAUGAUAGGUUUACUAAUUGCUAAUUCAAAUCGAUUUCAUCAGGAGACACAAGCGAGCCUAAAUCGAUUUCAUCAGAGGACACAAGCGAGCUGUCGCGACCUGGCGGAUCAACUGCGUCAAUUGACAGCCAGGAUGCAGCGAUUAGAGGCUCACCUUGAAGAAUUGCCCUCGCAAACCAAUAUCAAUCUUGAGGAAGAUGAGAGUGCAAUUGUCCGGGCAAAUGACAUGGAACUGCAAGAGUUUCAAGAAAACGGAUUUAAAGAUGCAGUUGAAAAGGAAGCUGAAGUGCAAGAAAUGAGACUCCAAGAUCAACUCGUUCAAGUGAAUGAAUCCAGUGAACAAUCUCCAAAUGCGGUGACAUCUUCUCCACUCCUUAAUCAAUAUUUUCCUGGCUCCUAUUCUUCAACUCCUGUUACUGAAAUUGAUUUUAUUAUACCAGAAAAUUUAAAAUUUCAUGACAGGAAUAAGUUAAGAGUGGAGAUGGCAAAAUAUCUUGAACCAAUGAAUGCGUGUGAUGGAGGAGUGAGUGGAGAAUGCAGAUCAUUGUUGACUUGUUUAGCGCCAUUUACUAGUCCAUGGAAGCCCGUAACUCGUGUGCCCAAGAAUUACUCCAUCUAUGAGGGUUACCAGGAUCACGUUGAAGAUGAAGCAUUGAAGCGAGCCACAAGAUUUUAUCCUCCAUGAGCAAAACAUGAUAAUGUCUAGCCAAAGACAUUAAAGAAAGGCGCUCAUUGGGAGGCAACCCAAUUUCUUUUAGUUGUUUGUUUGAUUUUAUUUGUUAGUUUAAAUCUGUCUUCCUUGAAUUUGACUGAUUUUGGGUGUUAAUUUUCGUUUUUACUGAUUUGUAGGUGACCUUCAGUCAUGACGCGCCCGCGUGGUGACGUGCAGGAAGCUCACGAUCAGAAACUUCUGGGAGCUCUCUUACCCUCAUGACGUGCCCGCGUCAAGUCACCUGGAGAGUUCCAGAUUCCGUGCCUUCAUGGUGUGCCCACGUCACGUUCACGGGAGAGAUAAGUAUUUAAAAAAAAAAUUCAAAAACGAUUGUUGAUUGUUGGUUAUCUCUGCUUUUGAAUCUCGAAAAUAAAAUUUGCUAAUGAAAAUAAAUUUCAAAAAAAUAAAAAAAAAUUUUUUAAAAAAAAAAAUUUAAAUUUUUGUUUCACGGUAGCUUAGAUUUUCAAAUCCUAAAAAAAAAAAAAAACACAGAAACUCUUUCUUAUCAACGUAGCUUUAGUGUCAAAUAUUUUAAAAAAAAAAAAGUCUCAAAUGAAAAAAAAAAAGGGCUUUUCUUUUUCUUUCUUUUCUUUCUUUCUUCUUCUUUCUCUUUUCUGUCUUCCUUCUCCCCUGUUUCUUCUUCCUCUCUGUUGACCGAAGCCCUCUGUCCGCCGCCGCUGCUGAAGCGCCCUCAGCCGUCGCGCAGCAGCUCCUCACUCGAAGACGCCGCGGCCACAGCACCUCUGCACGCGGCCUCCACCUCUCCAUCGCGCGCCGUCAAGAGCUCCGCCGACCCACGACGCGCGAGGCACCAGCUCGCGCGCCUCCCCCACCUAGCAACUGCUGGCCGACCAGCCCCACCACCAGCCCGCGCCGCACCUGCUGGCCGACCUAUCAACUCCUAAGCUCGCGAACCUCCUCAGCUCAGCUCCACCAGCGAGCUGCUCCUCGCUCACUCCAUCGCGUGAAGACCAGGCGAGCACGGCCCGCAGCCUCUCACCGCCACUGCGCACCUCUGACCAGCUCGCAGCACCUCUCUCUGCCCUCCGUGCGCUGCCCGCGCGUGGCACCAGCGCCUCCACAGCUCGUCGACGAAGCCCAAGCUGACAGACCACGCCGCUCGUCCACUUCCACCACUCGCGACGCACAGAUCAGCGCUGCCGUUGGUUGCCCAACCUCCCUGGUGCCAGGUUUUUCUUACUAAUUUUGUGGUCUACGAUUCCAAUUUCUUGAUGAUGGGAUUUUUGAUGAUUACGAUUUCAUUGAGUAAAUUUGAUUGGCUUGCAUCUGUGUUACUGGAGCCCGUGGGUUGGGUUAUGACCUGCAACUGAUUUGCCUAGUCUAAUAUAAUUGUCAUUUGUUUGGGCUCUUGAAGUACUGUCUAGUGUUGUUUGUAUUUCUUAGUGAAUUGAGUUUGCCGUUUGAUUUCAUUCUUCCCUGUGCGUACACCAGUGGUACUGGUUGUGGUAGUUGCCUAACAUUUAUUCAUUCUCAUUGGUGUGGCUGUUGGGAUUGAAAGCUCAGAACUUGUGACUAAGUUGUUAUUGCCUAAAUGCUGACCUGCUAUUACUAGACUUGCUGAUUUCUUGGGAGCAUUUGUUGGGAUUUUGGGUGGAUAUUAGCAAGUGGUAUAUUGCUUGAUUUUUUUUACCUGUGCCUUGCUUGGAGUUUCUAGUGCAUGUUUGGGGCUGCCUUGGGAGUUAUUUGCCACAAUUGAUUGCCGUUUUGGUUUCUUCUGUUUCUGGUACUGCUUGUGCUGAUGGAUUUAUCAGUGUUUUGGGCGGCUUAUUUGAAUUGCUUCUUCCCUGUGUGUUUGGUCAGCUGUUUGCUUGAAAACCCAAACCCUUGUGCUUAUAUUUGCUCCCAGUUGAGUUAUGUGUUGGACUUUCCAAUUGGUGACAACUUUUGGGCUUUAGGGGUGAGUUCAUUUUGUCAUUAUUUGCUACCUUGUUGGGGUCAUUUUUGGUUUCACCUGAGUCUAUUGUCCUGCCUUCUGUUUUGAGUCCAUUGGAGUGACGUGAGUUGAGUAAUUUCUGCUUUUGUUUGUUGAUUUGGAAGGCUACUGUGCCACUUUCAUUGCUUAUUGCUUAGUGAUUAUGUCUAAUUAACAAUGUGCAUAGCAUGGCGCAGAAUUUGGCAGCAUUCAUGUAGCAUGCCGGUCUUAUACCUCAAUUGGGUACCUCUAUUUGGUUGGCUGCGUUCUUAUUGUCCAAUAUCUAUGCUGUUUUCAAUGGAAUUGCUGAUCUUGGGUUAAGACUUUAGCUGGCCAACUGGAGCCAUUUGUUGAGAUUUUGGGUGAACUGCAAUACUGCACUCGUUUGUUCAAUUGGGAGGUUUCUUUUGGUAUUCUGGUUGAGUUAUUUCUAAAGUUGCCUGAUGAAUUGAGAGACAUAGAUGGCUAUUGCUCUGCCCUGAUAUUGCUUGGUUGCCAGUGCGCAUUCUCUAUGCCAAGUGGCAAGGAUGUCUCAGAACUCGGCUUCCCUCCACUGUUCCCUCCUAUCCCUUAGCUGUUCAGCAGGGAAGUCUCGUUAUCCUCUUCGCUUUAAUUAUUUUAUUACCUCCAUUGAGGACAAUGUAGGAUUUAGGUGUGGGGGGAGCAGUUAUGGUGCUAGUGUCUUUCGUUCAUUUUCUUUUUCUUCUUUUUAGUGAUUGGCUCGUAAGUGCAUGCCAAGGUUUGAUGUUGGAUUAUUGCCUCUAUUUCUACUUUUGCCAAGUUUUAAUAAUAAAAGGGUAUCAAGUUAAUGUGGUUGAAUCCAAAAACAUCUCUUUGGUGAAUAUCAAUAAUUGUUUUACUCUUAUAAUUUUUUGGUUAACUUUCCUAGGCAUAGGGAAUGAUUAUUGGCAUUUUUAGUGAAUUGGUCCGGUUAUUAACCUUAGUUCUCCAUGUUUGAAAAUGAGGCUAGCUGAUGCAAGUUUUCUUUUGGUUCUUGUGUUAUAUUGAGUUUUUGUGAUUUUUAGCUCUGAAUAAACUUGACUGUACUCCGCUAUUAGUUACUACUGAGUAACCGGGGAUCUGCACCUAAAAGUGUUGAUUCUCGCGUCAAAAGAUAGUAGUUCCUAUGAGUACGUGGUCACGUGGCGAUAGAAGCUGAGUAACCGGGCUCCUUCAUCUGGCCAAUGUUGGAAUUCGCGUCAAAAGGCUCUAAUGGCUAGCGACUAAGUCUUUUGUUACUAUUGAAAAAAAACGAGAAAGAAGAAGAAGAAAAAAAAAAGAAAAAAAAGAGAAAAGUAGAAAAAUGUGAAAGAAAAAGUGAAUGCUGUGUUAGUGUAUAAUAAAAGUCAGCUUGCCGAUUUAUGGAUUUAAUGUUGAGAUUUUGGUUAAUAGUUGGACCAUUUGCUGAUAACUGUUAUGCGUCAUUCCUUUUUCUUAGAUUGGUUAACAUGAAAUUAGAGGAAUUUAUGGUUUAGAAGCUAACCGGAGUGAUGUUUCUUGGACUAGACCAUUGAUGCUUGAUUAUUAUAUUUUCUUGGUAUCUUGGCAAUAUGGUAGAUGGAGUAAUAGCCAUUGGCAAGUGUUGGUGUUUAUUUGCUGUUCUCAUGCUUGAGGACAAGCAUGGUUUAGGUGUGGGGGGAAUUGAUAGGUUGCAAUUUUAUCAUUUAUUUUAUUAUUAAUUUUCCCUAUUACUUAACCCAAUGUGAAUUAAUUAUUAGAUUCUACUCACUUUUAGUAUUUUACAUAUAUUUCAGGGAGUAGAACGAAAAUACCAUAAUAAGUGUCCGAUUUGACAGUUAUCAGGAAAGAGUUCAAGUAGCAGGCAUCCAGGGCAUUUUUGGAACAAGGAGAUACAAGUCCUUUUUGGUAAUUCGCAGAGCAGCAGCAUUAAAAGGAGGAACGAAGGGCUGAAGUAGGGUCUUCUUCCGCCUGGGAGGAACCGCCGCACAGCAGAGGGCUGUCUGGUCCUCUUAGUUUUUCCGUUUCUUUAGUUUUAGCUUAGGAUUUUGACUUUUCUUCUCGUAGGAAUUUUGGGUAGCCUUUAGCUUAGCAACUUUUGUUGACCCUUUUUUGGCCUUUUAGCUAGUUUGUUCUUACGCAUGGAAGAUGGCUGAAUAGCUGAGGCUUGUUCUUUGUUUUUCUUUGACUUUUCCUUUUGGUUUGCUUCCUGCGGACGCCCAGACCGAAGGAAAACUAUGAAGUCCCUUUUGUAGCUUUCUCUCUUUAUUAAAUAGACGAAUUGAAUUCCUUCAACUUGCGAAUUGAUGGCCGCAGCUUUUGCUUCAAUUUCUUGUGGGUUUAGUUCAUUAAUUAUGAACUAAUUCUACAAUUCUAGUCAAGGGGACAACUGACGAUUUGGUUCGACAAUUACUGUGAGAUCGAAUCUGUUUUAAUUAUUUUCUUCAUUUAUUGGUAUUUAUAUGUUCCUUGAUUUUAAUUGCUAUGGCCUUGUGUAUGAUUGAUUAGUGCGCAAUAAUUAAUUAUUCAUAUAGGCUAUUUUUUGCUAAAUAGGGGUAAUUGAACCCGUAAUUGUUCGUUAUCUCUACCUCAGUAGCAACUGGCGUAAUUGGGUUUAUGUCAGGGGAGCAUAUGAUCUAGCUUAAACAAACCCUCGUAGCGUGUUUGUUGGUUAGGAUUGGGCCUUUCUAAUUAUUAAUGCAAUCUAGAAAUUAAAUCUUACGGUCGUACCUAGGGUUGUUUUUGGGUUAGAGAAAUAGCUAACGGUCGUACCUUAGCUAUCGAUAAAUUAAGGAAGGGUUGGUUGUUUAUCGCGUGCAGGACAACUAUAACCAAUCUAUUAAUAAAUGUUGGGAUUAUUUUUGCAUCAAUGAUCAGUGCAUGAACCAUUUCUGAAGUAUACCCUUGGCUAGAGUUUCUCUUAGUUAUUUCUUUUAAUUAAUUAUUUUCUGCAGUUAAUUUAUUUAGUUAGCAUUUAAUCCAAAACCCCCCAUACUUUGGACUCUAAAAGAAACAAUUACUCCCAGUCCCUGUGGAUUCGACCCUGCUCACCGCUAUCUACAGAAUUAAUUUUAGUUUGAGCAGGUUUUAUUAUUGUACAGGCUUCGACAACCUGUCAUUGAGCAUUUGAAAAGUGAAAUUUUUGUCCACCAAACUGCUUAUACCCGGAAGGUAUUAAAGUAGUUUUAUAUGGAUAAGGCAUAUACAUUAAGUACCCCAAUGGUCAGAUCAUUAGAUCCUAAUAAGGACCCUUUUAGACCGCGAGAGGAAGUUGAAGAGAUACUUGGUCCUAAAGUACCAUAUCUCAGUGCAAUUAGUGCACUAAUGUAUCUUGCUAAUUGUACAAGACCUGAUAUAUCAUUUGCAAUAAAUUUAUUAGCAAGAUUUAGUUCUCGCUCACAAGACGACAUUGGAAUAGUAUUAAACAUAUUUUUUGUUAUCUCCAAGGAUCAAUUGAUCUUGGCUUAUUUUAUUCAAAUAAAUCUAAACUUGAAUUGUUUGGUUAUGUUGAUGCUGGAUAUUUAUUUGGCCCACAUAAAGUAAGAUCUCAGACUGGUUAUCUAUUUACAUAUGGAGGUACAACCAUUUCUUGGCGAUCUACAAAGCAAUCAUUAGCUGCCAUUUCAUCGAAUCAUGCUGAAAUAAUAGCAAUUCAUGAAAUUAGUUGAGAAUGUGUUUGGUUAAAAUCAAUGACCCACUAUAUCCGGAAAAGUUGUGGGUUAUCCUCCGAAAAAGAAAAUCCUUCAACUAUAUUAUAUAAAGAUAAUGCAGCUUGUAUAACUCAAUUGAAAGGAUGAUAUAUUAAAAGAGAUAGAACGAAAUAUAUUUCACCAAAAUUCUUUUUUACUCAUGAUUUACAAAAGAAUGGUGAAAUUGAUGUGCAACAAAUCUGAUCAGAUAAUAAUUUGACAGAUUUAUUUACCAAUGCAUUGCCAACUGCAAUAUUUAAGAAAUUGGUGAAGAAUAUUGGAAUGCGACGACUAUAAGAUCUCAAAUGAUAUUUGCAUCCGGGGGAACAAUCAAUACACAAGAAUAGUGUACUCUUUUUCCUUCAUUAAGGUUUUUAUCCCGUUGGAUUUUUUCCUAGUAAGGUUUUAAUGAGACACAUUCUUUGUGUAAUGGACAUCCAAUGGGGAGUGUUAUGAAACAACUAAAAAUGUGGAUGCCCAUUUGUAUUCUCAAGAAGAUCAAUUCAUAAUUCAUUGCUUCCAAAAGGAUUAAUUCAUAAUUCAUUGCUACAUUAUAUAAAGGAAUUACAUUGGAUGAACGGUUUCAAUCCAUAAGAGCUAUUCAUGUAUUGGAUGAACCAUUUCAUAUGGUUAUUUAUGUUCUUGUAGUAAUGAGUGUUUAAUAGAAUUGAUGUACCUUUAAUUUUGUAGUACCUAUAUAUAGAGGUACCUUGGCACCUCUUGGAUGUACUUUUUGAUUAGUUGGAAUAAUAAAAAAAUCAUUCUCCAUUUCUGUACUUUUUUUUCUAAUAUUUUAAUUCCUAUUAUAGUAGUUCAUUUUUUUUUUAGUUUUACAACAUUACUCAAAGAAGAGGGUUAUUGGACUAUAUGUUUAUUGACCUCUACUAGGGAUGACAAUGGGGGCGGGUGACGGCAAUGGGGGCGGGUGACCGCGGGCACCCGUCCCGCGGGGGGCUAAUGGGGAGAGGGAUGGGGCCGGGGCGGGGGGUAGGGGAGUGUACCCCCGCCCCAUCCCCCGUCCCGCUACCCGCUUUAAAAAAAUAAAUAUAUAAAAUAUAUAUAGGUAUAUAAUUAUAUAUAUAAUAUAUAAUUUAAUUGGUUACAAACUUAUGAUAAUAAUAUUAUUAGUUAUAUGUAUUAUAUGAUGUCUAUUAGUAUAAAUAAUAUAAUUGAUAUUAUUAAUUAUACUAAUAAUUAUAUAUGUGUACUCAUACAAAUUAUUAAUUGGUUAUACUAAAUUUACUAAUACAUUUAUACUAAAUCCCUAAUUACACUUAAUACAAUAACAUUAUUUUCAUAAAAAAAACACAACCACAAUAAUGAAUUAGUGAUUGUAUUUGUACCAAAAGUGAAAAUUUGAUUACUUUAGUUAUAUUUUUUUCAUCAUGUUGGAUUGUAUUCAAAUAAUUUUUGUUUGAUUGUUUUUAUAAGUUUCAAUUGUAAAAUUGCAAUGAAUAAUAAUUUGAUGAUGUGUUGAUAUUUUAGUACUUGAUUAUUUGCUAAAAUUUAAUCAUAAUAAAAUUAUAUAACAAAUUUUUAUUAGCUCAGCGGGAGCACCCGCCGGAGAAGCGGGGCAGGGUGGGGACGGGGCGAGGGAAGCGGGGGAUGGGGGAGGGGUCCCCCGCCCCAACCCUCUUCCCCAUCUCCCGCCCCGUUGCCAUCCCUAACCUCUACUAACUUAUUUAAGGUCAUUUUAUAUCACUAUCCAAAGAAGAAUUAAGGUCAUUUUAUAUCACUAUCCAAAGAACAAUUCUUGGGCGUUAACAUUUUUCUUACAUGCCAAGACUAUUAAUGAAAGUUGACCCAAAUCUCUCUCUCUCUUUCUCUCAAUUCUUAGGACUGAUGCCAAUUCUUACCAUUUAGAAAGAAAAAUUAGAUUGUUUAUAUAUAUGAUGAGUUCCCUCUAAGUCAUGGUUAAGAAAAAUUCUUAGUUAGACGCAGUUUUAUGAAAUGUGAAUUUCCUUUUCUUUGUCUUUAUUCGUUAGUAUUAUUGGGGUUAUUGUAUUAUGAUUGCAAUGCACAGAUACAUGGAUUUUUGACAUUUUUUUCUCAUUUUUUCUUUUUAAUUGACUCUGACUAUGUCUCAAACUCGAGACAUCAAACCUGGAGAAGACUUUUGUCCAAAAUGCUUGUAAAAAUUCAGAAGAAUAAUGUUGGACCUUAUUAUUUAAUAAUGGUGCAAUUAUGAGAGUCAUUCCUGGUUUAAUUAUCAACAUCAUGUCAUUAUUAUUUUUUUGUUUCAUAGAAAAAUAAAGUAUUCUCCGACUCGACAUUAUCAUAUUAUUUUCAAUUGGCAGCUUUAAGUGAGAAAGGCCGGUGAAAAUUUUGGGCAUUACUAGUUUAUUUAGGCCUCACGCGCUCCGUGAAGGUGCCGACGUCAUCUUCGUUUUAAUGGAAAAAUUUGAGCGCGCUUUGAUCAUAAGGAAUUCACAAUCAUCGGGCCAACAAAGAAAGCACUAAAUGGUUAAAACAAACCAUGCAAAUUUGCUCAGCACUUAAACAAUAGACUCCUAAACCGACCAUUUUACUGUCUUGCCAAAAAAGGGCAUUAAAGUAAAAACAACCCAUGCCUAACACAACUAACAAACUUCAGCACCUUCACUUCACUGCCACGUCAUCAACAACAUCUGUAAAUUUCCAAGGAAGUCCACGCACUAAAGGUGCCAUGGGGGACCUCAGGUUAGUGUUCUUAACAUCAACUCCUGUCUUUAUAUUCUUAGGAAAUAUUGAAAUUAAACAUUAUAACUAAUCCUGAUUUCCUUAUGCUGUAUUUGUACACAAUUUGGCAACUUGAUAAAAAGUUUGUUCCAAUUUAUUCCAAUUUAAUUUGUCAGCUAGUCGAAUCUAAUUUGAAUAGUAUUUAACUUUGAAAUUUGAUAAAAAGUUUGUUCAAACUUGGUUUACUAAAUAAACAAGUUAAGUUUGAACAAAAUUUCAAACUUAUUAAAAUAAUUAAAUACGUUUGAAUACUAGGGUAUUCAAUUUAAUUAGACUCGUUUGCACCCAUAAUUAAAGCAUGCACUUUUUUAUAAAUUUAGGAAUCAACAUUAUCUAUUUGAUAGCUAGCUAAUGGCCCAAAAAGUUAAUUGCCUUAAAUUCUUUUAGCAGCCAUAAAGUAUAGUUGGAGGGAUUCCCUUGAAAUUGAUUAGAUUCUUCUAUGUGACUGUGACGUAUUACUAGUCCUACCCAAAAAAAAAUGGUAUUACUAGUCCUUUUUUCUUUUUGUGGCGUGCCACCGCCGUAGGGGGCGGGGAGGGCAGUCAGUGCGAGAAUUCUAGAUGGGGUAGAAGUAGCCAAAGUUCACCUUAUUCAAAGUAAACAACCGACAAUCUCAGUUGUCGACUUUCCUGUCGAUUGCGUAUAUAUUACUAUCUUUUACCAUGACUUUAGAGGAUACCUAAUUUUGCUUGCUAUUAAAUAAUAAUUCCUGGCACCACAUAAUUCUUUCAAGAACUACCAAAACCUUCUUGAAAUCCCUCUUUUUCCUUUUAGUUCAUUUCCAAGAAACAAAUUGAACCAUCAUGGCCCCUGUCACUUCCAGUUAUGAGGUCACCUCCUCAAUCCCUCCUGCAAGGUUGUUCAAGGCCACCAUCCUUGAAGAGAAGCAUCUUCACAAGAUCUUGCCACAGGGCGUUAAGAGUGUCGAAAUCCUUGAAGGAGAUGGUGGAGUUGGCACAAUUAAGUUGACCACAUUUGUUGAAGGUAAGAUAUCAAUACAAAGUGAUUAUUUUCACACAUUUGAAGUCCUCAAAAUGUUCUUUUUUUUUUUUAACAUUUUAUUUGUGGGGGUAAGUAUGUAUGUAAGCCCUAAUAACCUUUUUUUUUUUGUUGGGUUAAAUAUUUAGGUGGCGAGCUUAAGACUGCCAAACAGAGAGUUGAUGGAAUUGACAAAGAAAAAUUUACAUACAGUUAUACUGUACUUGAAGCUGAUGGAUUUAACGAUGUAAUCGAGAAAAUCUGUUGUGUCAUCAAAUUUGAACCCUCUGCUGAUGGAGGUUCAAUCUGCAAAACCACUAAUACAUACUACCCCAAAGGUGGUGCUCAGAUCAGUGAGGAACACCUCAAGGGAGGAAAAGAGAAGGGUUUGGGAAUGGUUAAGGCUGUUGAGGCUUACCUCCACGCAAAUCCUACUGCCUACAACUAAUUAAAAUGAAUGCUACUGAAGGACUCUUCGACAUAUUUUCUUCAAGAUUGAAGUAUAAACUGAGGGUGUCUGUUUCCUUUUUUGCUUGGUUUGCUUAAGCUGUUUGGUUAAGUUAUUCGCAGCA
Molecule: long non-coding RNA, 75058 nt
Filed under: Coffea arabica (coffee)
Lineage: Eukaryota; Viridiplantae; Streptophyta; Magnoliopsida; Gentianales; Rubiaceae
Description: long non-coding RNA (CARA_LNC002175)
Source: RNAcentral